RNAcentral lists this long non-coding RNA (45203 nucleotides) under Malus domestica (apple). RNAcentral's name for it is "long non-coding RNA (MDOM_LNC007122)". Lineage: Eukaryota; Viridiplantae; Streptophyta; Magnoliopsida; Rosales; Rosaceae. The record is from RNAcentral.
CCUCCUCCAUAUGCAAGAAAAUUUUGUUGCGACGACUCCGAAUAUUAUCUUGAAUUUCCUGCAGCUCCAUUGUGGCAAAAUCCUGCACUGUUUCAGGCCCCUCUAUGAUACAAAAUAUGCACCAUUAAGCAUGUAAAAACUAAAAAUUACAGGCUACAAAGCAAUUUCCGUAUAGUUGUUGGGUUAAAUAACAUCAACAGCAAAUAAAUCACAUGGGUUUUUCACAUAAAGUUACAAACUUUCAAGGACUAAUAAGCUGUCUGCAAUCUCAUAAAUUUCACAGUGCAAAGUAACAAUCCAAAGCUUGGAACUUUAAAUUUCCACCUUCUGUUAAUUUCCUAGAGAGAAGAGAGGGGGGGGGGGAAGUACCCGGCGGGGUUUGUAUCAGCGGCGGGAUUGGGAUCAGAAUCGACAGACGGAGCGAAAGAGGAGGAGUCGGGUUCCGAAGCCAUGGCAAGGGAUCGCCAUCUGGAGCUGCUUGUUGAUAUGGGGCUUCUGGGUAGCUGAAUUUGGAGCAGCCGGCGCUAUGCAGUUUGUACGGACGGCACCGAUUUACGGGGAAAGAAACGGCCAAAAGUCUGCCGGAGCAGAGCAUCUCUGUCUCUCUCUCUCAAACCAGAAGGUAGAGCUUUCUGUUUCUCUUGAGGUUUCUUUCACUGGUAAAUUCCAGAGAAGCAGAGAAGAAGGCUCUCUGAGAAAUGGCGAUGGUGCAAGUGGAGACAAAACAAAUGUAAAUCUUGAAGCACUGAACAUCUGCAGAACACUUGUCAACUGCCGAACUCUAGGAUUAGGAGAGAGACAGUGAGCGACCGGCCAAAAAAACAAAAUGGAGGUAAGUGGCUAAUUCUUCUCUCAUUUUUUUUUCCUUGUUUUUCAGGAAAAAAAAAAGACAGAGAGAGAUUUUUAGUGGACCUGGCGUCGAUAGAUUCGAGUAGUAUGUCACAUUUAAAAUUUGAGCAAAUUGUAACUAUAGUACUUUAAUUUUAAUUUAAUUGGAGGAAUGAUCCAUCAACUAAAAAUUCAUUACCAUUGAUCAUUUAAUUAAAAAUCUAUUACCGUUGGUCCCUCAACUUUAAUUCAACUAGAGAAAUGAUCUUUUAACUUUAACCCAAUUGUAGCAAUGGUCAUUCCAACAUAACUCGUUUUGACAAAAUUUUUGAUGUAGUUGACGAAAAUGACCAUAAUUACAUACUUUGAUAAGUUGAGGAACUCUAAUUGUAUAAAUGGUCAUUUCAACAUAAUUUAUUUUGACAAAAUUUUGACGAAAUUGAUGAAAAGGACUAUAGCUACACAUUUUGAUAAGUUGAGGGACCAAUAGUAAUUGAUUUUUAGUUGAAGGACCAUUGCUAUAAUUUACUCUUAAAAUUUUAUUAUAGGAUGACAAACGUCGAAAAUAAAAGGUUAAGUGCAGUGAUCGUCUUUGAGGUUUUGGAGGUUCUGUGUGGUCAAAUACUUUGUUCUCCCUAAAAUUGCCACUAUUGAGACGAUUACUUGCCUCAUACAAACAUUUUACGUUUACUUAGAACUAGAAAGACAAGAAUUGCAUGUGAUGAAUUGCUCUAAUCAUGGGGUUUAUUUUUUAACUCAUUGUGUUUUAAAUUUAAACUUUUUUCCCUCUCUUUGAUAUACUUAUAAAGUGUGAAAUUAAUAAUUUUAAUGAGUGACUCAAUUAACUAUUUUCAUUUCUUACGCGUUCAAAAUUACACAAAUUUGUUGCAUACAAUUUUUUAAAAAGAAAAUUUCUAUUAUUAUGGAGAAAGUUCGGUACAUUAUGGAAGGAGGAAUUUUGAACUCGAAACACAUGGUAGAAACCUAACGCCCAUCCACUAGGAUAUUAGAAACCCAACGCAUAUCCACUAGGAUAUUAGACCACCAGAGCUGGUCCUGAGAUAUUUGGUGCCUGUGUCAAAAUGUGUCUUUUUCCAGUACAACAACAGAAAUUGAAAAGAAAUAUUUAAAGAGGGCUGGAACCCAGUCGAAGCUGGGGGCUAGGCCCUCACACCCAUGUUAUAUUACUCGAAAAAAAAAAAAUAUACAACGGGAUGGAACAUAGUACCGAAACCCCGACAAUAAAAAACAAAAUCACAUACAACCACUCCAAGCAGUCAACAUGACCAUUACAUAUUGAAUCCAAAAGGUUGACGCCUAUUCUCUGCAUAUAAUGCACAGAAGAUAACAAGAUUACUAAUAUAAAAAGAACAUCUGAAAAGAUGAACAUAUGCAUCAACAUAUAAGUUAACCAUUCUAAGUGCAAAUUUAGAAGUGAUAUGCUCCAAGUAUAAUAUUGGACAGAAGAGCGGCAGCAUCAACCAGUUCUGCUAUAUCCGGCUGGAUGAGAGCUGCUAAAGACAUGAUUGUUCCCUAAUAACAUGAAUAAAUUGAGUAAACACCAAAAGUAGCAGCAAGGGAAGGAGAUGUUAAGAAGAUGAAGAGGUGUAACACCUGUGAAUGUCCAACAACAAAGACUUUGGUGCUUGUUGAAUAUAUGCAGCGCAUCAUUUCUGAUAGAUCAAAUCGAGCCAAUUCCUGCCAACUCCAAUCCUAAAAAUCCUACAGUAAAGCAUAAAUCUUAUUCUCUUCUGAUAAAGAUGUGUGUCCCUGUCUCCAACGUGUUUGACGCACAUUCCCUACCCAUACAUCGAAACCUUCAUCUGCAAGGACAAAUCCCAGUUAUUCUUCUGGAGAAUUUAAGAACCAUGAAUCACCUGGUCAAGAUCAAGAAAAGCCAGUAACCAAUUACAAUUGAGUUUGAAGCACAUAAGAGCCUAAUUUAAAAUGUAUCCCAUGGAUGUUCAUCAAUUUACACAAUAGUUAGUUUCAAGAAAGGAAAUUUCAACAGAACCUGAAAACUUCAGAUCAGGGGGCACCAAAUAGUGAGCUAUACAUUCAAAAUUUGAAAUAAUCAACUUAGUGGGACCAAUAUGUUGAAAAAAUUGGAAGGAGCUAUGAAAGUAAGGCUUUUCACUAAUCAGACGUCCAGAGAAUCAAUAUUUUACUCACGGAUCAGUUACGGGGAACACUCCCCACCAAAGCAAUCUCUUUCGUCUGAAUCUGGAAAACAAGCAGCAGUGGAUUUUAACAGUCUGGGUAUCUCAAAGUUACUUUAAUCAUAAAUUUAACACUAAAACAUAUAAAUGGGCAUUAUUUAGUGAAAUAUUAGUAUAGUACUCACUGUGUGCUCGGAACAAGAGUACCCAGAAAGCUCAAUGAGCUGCGCACAGAGGACUACAGCGGUGAACGACAGCGACCGAUUCUGUAAAAUUCAGUCAAGUUUUGGGUGAUUUCUGCAGUUAUUUCGGAGGUCAAGAGGCUGAUAGGGAAAGCUGCGACCGAAGGGCACUGGUCUGGAAGCAAAGGCUCAGGUCACCGCUGUCCCGAUUCGCGAAGGAAGUGCCCCAAAAACAAUUUCGGCCCUGGACAGGUGCACUGUUUGCACUGGACCAGGGCCGGCCGGCCCUGGCAAUAACGUCCCCCAAACAGUACAUAUACAGAUGCUAGAAAUAUAUUAAUGUAACCUGAAACUACUAGAACCAUUCAAUUCUAGCGUCUACAGCUAUAGCAUUAGUUGGUACAAUGGACAUUCUUCCAAAGAGGGGGAUGAACUCGUUGAGGCUCUUAUUUAUUCCUCCUCUUGUUGUGCCCUUUUCAGCUGCUAAUUCCAGACGAUCCAAUCUCAUACAUCUUCCCUGCAAAAGCAUGCGUGCCAGACUUCAAGAUCAAAUUUUUCCAACAAAAGAAACUUAAAGAUCAAACUCGCUAGCAGAUUAAAUGGUGCACAAGGGUGUUAAAAUCUUGACAUAGUAUAUUUUUGGCAGAUUUUAUGUGAGCAUGCAACUAAAACUGGCAUCACUAUCAAUGGUGCAAAAAGAUUGGUGGAAAACUUUAACAGUUUGAGUUGUAACUUCUCCAUUGUAUUUGUUAAGGCAAGACGGAUGUCAUCUAUGCAUUUUUCUGUAAAACUUAAAAGGCUGCAUAGCAGCUCUUGUUCGUACGACAAGCAAUUGAAAAUCCCAUCAUUAUGCCCCGCAUAUACCAGAAAAAAAAAGUCAUUUACACAAAUUCAGAGCGUUCAUCCACUGUAAUUUGCAGAUAUAGAAACGUUAAGAUAAAAGGAAAUGCAAAGUUAGCAACGGGAAUUGACAUACCAAUAUCUUCACAGUUUCUGCACAAGCACAAAUCAAAAGAAUCCGGCGGUGGAGUUAUGUACCUCUCCUUGGAAAAUGCCACCUCUUGGGAUUUCAAAAUAUGCGGCCGUGGCUAGCCGUCUGACCACGCCAAUUCCACCAAAGCCGCCGCAACGCGGCGCAGUGUCCGAUUGAUUGCUUCAAAACAGAGCUUCGUAUCCAUGUGUUUAUCAGCACAGAGUACCCAAAACCCCUGAAAAUUAUUUCUUUAUUCAGAUAAUAAAAUUUCCCAAAUUUCAAAUUUUAAUUCCGAACCAAAAAUAGGAUUUGAAUUUUGAUUACCUAGAAAUUGGGGGGUUGGCGAUAUGCGUCCUCGAGAGGGUACCAAUACAAAUUACAGAGCGUGUUGGGACGAUGUACAAGGCUUUUGCAGUCUCUCAGAUGUAAAUACCGAAGCUCCGUAAGGCGUUCAAUCCAGGGGGAAAGCUCUUUGAUAGAUGUUCCAUCCAAGACAAGAUUUCUUAAUCCUUCCAUAUUUUCUUCAAUGCUUGGAAACACCUCGAAUUUUGUACAACCGGAAAGAGAGAGAUAGACAAGGGACUUGAGCUGACAAAUGCUACUUGGAAGACUCUUAAGCUCCUUGCAAUUUUCUAGCUUCAAAUGAUUCAAUCCCGUGAGAUUAUUAAUUGACGAGGGCAUUUCUUUAAUUUUUGAUCCGGAUAAAUGAAGAACUUUUAACCCUUCAAUCACUUUUAAAAUCUCUGGAAACAUCUCAAGACUCUGACAAUCAUAAAGUACAAAGGUUUCGAGAGAUUUCAUAUGAAUGUUGCUUGGAAGACUCUUAAGUUUUUGGCAAUCUGAUAGGUUCAAAUGAAUCAACCCCGUGAAAUUAUUAAUUGACAUGGGCAGUUGUUUAAUUUUUGACCCGGAUAAAUUAAGCUCUUCUAACCCCUCAAUACCAUCUGAAAUCAAUGGAAACAUCUCAAGACUGGAGCAGCCACAAACAUUAAAGGUUUUCAGACAUUUCAAAUGAAUGCAACUUGGAAGACUCUCAAGUUCCUUGCAAUCUUUUAGGUUGAAAUGACUCAACCCCGUGAGAUUAUUAAUUGACUCGGGCAGUUCUUUAAUUUUGGACUCGGAUAAAUUAAGCUCUUCUAACUCCUCCAUACCUUCUGAAAUCUCUGGAAACAUCUCAAAAUUGGAGCAGCCAAAAAGAUUAAAGGUUUUGAGAGAUCUCAUACGAAUUUUAUUGGGUAGAAUCUUAAGUUCCUUGCAAUAUGAUAGGUUCAAAUGACUCAACCCCGUGAGAUUAUUAAUUGACUCAGGCAGUUCUUUAAUUUUGGACUCGGAUAAAUUAAGCUCUUGUAACUCCUCCAUACCUUCUGAAAUCUCUGGAAACAUCUCAAGACUGGAGCAUCCAUAAAGAUUAAAGGUUUUCAGACAUUUCAUAUGAAUGCAGCUUGGAAGACUCUUAAGUUCCUUGCAAUCUCUUAGGUUUAAAUGAAUCAACCCCGUGAGAUUAUUAAUUGACUCGGACAGUUCUUUAAUUUUGGACUUGGAUAAAUUAAGCUCUUGUAACUCCUCCAUACCUUCUGAAAUCUCUGGAAACAUCUCAAGGCUCACGCAGCCAAAAAGAUCAAGAGUUUUGAGAGAUUGCAUACGAAUUUUGCAGGGUAGAAUCUUAAGUUUUUCGCACCCUUUCAGAUCCAAUAAAACAAGUUUUGUAAGAUUCGAAAUAGAUGGGUGAACCUUAACUAACCCUCCACAACCAUGAAGAAUUAGCCUCUCAAGAUUUGGCACAUUUGUGAAGUCAGGGGUUUCCUUAAGGUAUGAACAAUAACUUAAAUUGAUGAAUUUCAACUUUUCCUGCGUCUGUUAAAACAUUCAGGAAAACAUGCAUUACUUAAUAAGACAUCUCACUCAAAGCCCAAACAUUUAAAAGAAACAAAUACAUGUAAAUGAUUGCACAUACCUGGGUUCCUUCCCAAAGUCGGUCAAUGUGGCUAUAUUGCAUGUCAAGUCCAACAAGAUUUUCGAAUUGAAAGUUGGAUGGCAAAGACUUGAGCGGGAAACAAGACCAGGAAAGAAACCUCAACUCACUAGAAACAAACUUUAAGGACCCAGUCAGGUGUUGUAUGCUGAAAGUACCGAUCUUGAGAAGUCUUAGUUUAGUCAUCCUAUCAAAAGCUUUAACAAUUAAGCAUCCCUCAUAUGAGUGCCCCAAAUCUAGGAUUAUGCUUUUAACUGUUUCUGUACCCUGUGCAAAUCAAAGGGAAGGAAAAAGCAGAGAACCUUAGUUUAGAUUAUGAAGUUAAUGGUUGUUUCUUAAGGAGUUGUUUGAUAAUAAUUUUGUUUUCACUUUUCACUUUUGUUUUGAUUAUUUAUUUAGAAAUCUGAAAAUUGAAAACAUAUAACUUGUUUGUAAUUGUUUUCAAUUUUCAAUUAUUAAAAAAAUGAAAAUUAAAAAUUAAAAAUGGAAACAAAAGUGGUUAUCAAACGAGCUUAAGAAAUUGAUUUUGGUCAAAAGUUGAAGCUUUCUACUAAACAUUGCAUAAGAAGAGAAAUUAUCACCGUAUUUUUAGUUAUCACAUGAAGAACAUCUUCAUAACUCCACAACCUACUUCGUUUCCCAGGCUCUUCGAUAGAUUCUUGCUGGACGAUUUUCCGACCCAUUUCCUCUAGUAAAUCAUGCAUCUCCAGUUCCCCCUUCCAUGAGACAGUUACUAGAGCUCGAUCGAUUAAAACUUUUAUUCCAAUAUCAGGAUAGGAACCACAGCUGUGCAGAACUUCGGUUGCAUAGUCUUUUCUCAUUCCUUUAAAGAAACAUGCAAUAUCUAGAAAGAUAUCCUUCUCCGUGUCAUCUAGUCCAUCGAAGCUUGUUUUAAGCACAUCAUGAAUUCCCUUUUGCGGGAUUUUCUUUAUUUUUUCUAACUCAUUUUCCCACUGGCGUACAUUUUUGUUAUCAAGAAAAGCUCCCAAGACUUUGAGUGCUAAAGGCAGACCUUGAGCAUAUUUUACAGCACGCCUCGAGAGAUCAUCAUAAUCUCUGUUGGGUUGGUUUUUUCUAAAGGCGUACCGCCUAAAGAGUUCCAGAGCUCCAUUAUCACUUAAAAUCUUGGGAUUAUAUAUCUCAUCAGCUAUGCUUAGUAAUUGCGAAUCUCUGGUUGUUAUAAUAAUUCUGCUUCCACCACCAAAGGAAUGUGGUUCUUUAAGUAAAGCUUCAAUUUGUUCUAAUUCUUCCACAUCAUCAACAACAAUAAGAACUUUUCUCCGACCUAGGCUAUUUAACACCACCUGGAAACCUUUAUUCGAAACGUCGGAACUCCCCACCUUGUUGUUCGAGAUACUCGAUAGAAGUUCUGCCUGCAUAUAUAGUUUGCCAUGCUUUAUGAAACCUUCCUUGAAAUUUUCAAGAAAGCAACAAGCUUUAAAUCCACCAGAGAUUUCAUCAUAAACAGCUCUAGCGAUGGUUGUUUUGCCUAAACCACCCAUACCCCAUAUUCCAACAAUGCGAACAUCAUUAGUUUCAACUCCAGGAGGAUACAAUAAUGAAUGCAUGUUAUGCAUAUGAGAGUCCAUUUCAACCAAGCCAUUAUCUUUGCUUGAUGAUGAUGAGAUGUGGAUCAAUUUCUUAAAAACAUCUUCUACAAUUUUCUCAAUAAGCUCUGCAUCAUCCCUGUCAAAUUUAAAAAACAAUAUAAUAACACCACCAAAUAAUACUUAAUGGGUCUUUUUCAUCUGUUAGUUUAAAAAAAAUAGAAAUUAAAACUAAAACUAAAAUCUAAACGUUAUAAAAAUCCCAAAAAUUAAUAGGAAACUAAAACAAAUUAGAAUUUACUCAUAUUUCGCGAAUCCCAGCCGGAUAAACUGGUGGCAAUUGUAAGAGCGGAUCUCCAGCUCUGAACCUCUUCCAUUUCAGCGUUAGAAUCACGAUCGUGCUGAGCAAAAGCUUCCUCGAAUUUUCUCUUGAGUUUACGAACGUCAGACGGAUCAACUUCAUAGAAAAUGGGGAGUACAAUCUGGUUAUUGGUAUCCUUGCAUUUCAAGAUUUGCACGAGUUCUUUCAAGCACCAAGUGGAAGAAGCAUAGUCUUGAGAGAAAACUACAAUCGAAAGCCUUGACUCUCGAAUCGCUGUCAGGAGCUCAGAAAGGUGGUCGCCUUUUCUGAGCUUCUCGGCAUCAAUGAAGGCGUUGAUUGGUUUCUUAACCAGAGCGUUGUAGAGAUGGCUGACGAAGCCCCUGCGAGUGUCUUCCCCUCUGAAAUUGAUGAACACAUCGUAUUUGCAACCAAGGCCAGAAGAAGAUGAAGAAGAAGAAGCAGCCAUUAUUAAUCGAUCGCACCUGGUCAGCGACGAUCGAGCAGCUAAGACUAAGAGAAUUGUAAGUACAGAGAUACUCAAUAGAUCUACAAAUUGGAUCACCGGAAAUUAGUCUGAUCGAUACCAAGUCAAUGAGUCAAUGCAAAAGUAAAAAGGGGAAAGGGAAAUUAUGCUUUAUGUUUUUUCACAUCUUCUUCGGGGAAAUUUCGGUGUGAAAGGAAUCUUAUCCUUUUGAUUUUUUAACCGAAGCAAAUGCGAAGAAAAGGGUCAAAGUGGUAAAUUGAAUAUACACUUGCCUAUCCAACAACCUCUUAAUUUAAUAUAUUUAAUUGAGAAAAGUAGUUUAGAGGAAGAGGUAUUCAUCAAUUCCCCAUAAACUUGUGACCAUUGGCCAAUUUUCCCCCUCAACUUUAAUUUUGGCCAAUUUCUUCCCUAAACUCUCAUAAUUAGUUAAUUUCCCCCAUCAACUUUAAUUUGGUCAAUUUCCCCCCUCAACUCUCAUAAUUAGUCAAUUUGCACCCUACUGUUAAUUUUUUAUUUAUUUUUCAUCUAUUCUUUUUUUUUUCUUUCAAUCUUUCUAAUAACUUCCAACAAAAUACUAAAAUUAAUAUAAACUCACCUGCAUAAUAUAGGGUAAAAUGUACAAAAACAUAAUACCAUUAGUAUGUGAUAUGGGUUGAUUAUAAGAAAAAGUUAUGAAUCGGGUUUAAAUCAUGUAGAAGAAGAAACAAUAAUCCUAAACUCAUGGAUCAGACCUAUUUCAAUAAAAUGGGUUAUUCUUAAUAAGGAGUCGAAAAUUAUGAAUUGACUAGCCAUUUUUGCACUAAACCUCGAUUCUCCGCAAUUUACUUGAACUUAGCUUUCACUUUUAUAAAGAAAAUUGUAUUCACAUACAAAAAUGUACACAUCAAUCCUUUUCGUUAUCAAUUUUGUAUAGUAAAAAAUCAAAUAAAAUUACUCCAUACUAAUUUAUUAUGACUAAUAAUACUAUUUAUGAUAAAUUGUAAAAUUCUAAAUUUUAAUCUAUUUGUAAUAGGAUAAAGACAUAGGAAAAUGAUUAACAUACAUCUUAUUUAGUUUCUUACACACACUUGUUUAAUUAUGAUCAAAUUAAAAAAUUAACAGUAGGGUGCAAAUUGACUAAUUAUAAGAGUUGAGGGGGGAAAUUGGCCAAAUUAAAGUUGAGGGGGGAAAUUGACUAAUUAUGAGAGUUGAGGGGGGAAAUUGGCCAAAAUUAAAGUUGAGGGGGGAAUUGGCCAAUAGUCACAAGUUCAUGGGGGAAAUUGAUGAAUACCUCUUAGAGGAAUGAUGGUAUCUCUUUUUCUUCUCACUCAAUCUUCCAGCAUGCGAUUUAAUCAUGAUUAAAGCCAAGCUUAAUAAUAGGUCGUAUUAUUUAGGUCGUUUUGGAUUAUAAGUUUUUGUUGUGAACUUGUGAUACGAUAGUUAGAAAAUUAAAAAAAUUAUAAUUUAAAUAUAUGUGGUGAAAUCUGUUAAGAUUUAGAUUCAAAAUUGAAAAUUUCAUUAACUUCAUUAAUUAUUAGCACACGAAGCUUACAAAUGAAAUAAAAAUAAUAAAAUUAGUCUCACAUGUAAUCUCUAUGCGCUAACAAUUAAUAGAGAGAUUCAUUUUAACCUAAAAUGUGUGACUUACGUACUAAUAAUUAACAAAAUAUUGACAAAAUUUUCAAUUUUAAGCAUAAAUCUUAAUAAACUUCAUCUCAUAAACUUAAAUCCUAAUUCAACAAUCUUCUCAUUACCUUACCACUGCAAACUACCUUGCCACUACAAAAAUUAUUAAUCAAAUUAAACUUAUUAUUUACUUACAAAUACGUAACUCAAUCACCGAAAGCUAUCUCCGUUGCUAUCUCCGUUUCUUUGCUGAGUGGACAGCUGUCUCUUUGUCUUCUUUUGGCAGAUAGCUACUAGACUCCUAGUGGCCGGCCUAUUUUCCACAGCUGGUUAUAGGACUCAGUUGCUAUUCAAGAAGUGUUAUGUUGUAAUUCAAUAUUGAUGGAAAUCCAACAGAAUCUUCUUCGAAUUGUUGUGAGCAUUUUGGGAUAUUUUUUAAUCAUAUUCAUUUAUCGUUGUGGGAUCAAUUUUAUUAAAUAUUAUUUAUGUUUAAUUUUAAAUAAAUAAAUUUAAAAUAAAUUUUUAUCGCACGAUAUACUAUGAACGAAUACGAUUCAUAGAUCUCCAAUAUCUUCACAAGAAGAAUCCAAAAGGAUCCGGAUUCAAUGGAAAUAAGCUAAUUUUGAAUCAAAUAACAUUACUUUAUUUUGUAAGUAAAUUAAUUUUAAAUCAAACAACAUUCAUUUAUUAUGUAGCUAAUUAAUUUUGUAUGUGUCAUCAUAUAUAUUAGGCACAUUUUAUUAUAGGUGAUUUUGUGGUAUUCAUUUUCAUUUGUAAGUAAGAGGUCUUAAGUUCGAUUUUCAUCAAAAACGAAUUUAAACUAUAUUAUUGCUAGUCCAUUAUGAGGCCUAACCCACCCUCCUCCCCCUUAGUGUAGAUAGAUCGUUUGUUCAAAAAAAUAUAUAAUCAAAAUAGAAUGUGAAGCGAAACAAUAGAUCAACAUUAUUUAUGUUAAUUAUAAAUAGGUCAACCAUGUAUGUGAUACUUAAAUCAUUUAAAAUAAAAUAAAAAUUACAAAAUCUGCCAUUACAGCUGGCACACACUUUAAUUAACACUUUCUUUCUCAUAAUUUUUAUAUUUGGAAUAAGUCAUACGAAUCAAAUACUACAAUGUAUUAUCUGUUUUUUAAUUCUAUUUUUUACAUUUGGAUUCAGACACUGCGUUGUAGUGUCCAUUUACUGAUUUUGUUUUUUCCAUCACUCACAUGCCUCCUAUAUGUUCCUUUGUACAUUUGGAUUUAGACAAUGCAAUGCAGUGUCUGUUUCUUGGUUCUGGUUUUCUCUUUUGGAUUCAAACGCUGCAUUGCAAUGUAUGUUUCCUAGUCCUAUUUCUUUCAUCAUCCACACGUCUCCUACACUUCACACUUUCAUGCGACUCCUGAUUUUUACAUUUAGAUUCAGACAUUGUAAUGCAAUGUUCAUUUCCUACCUUUGAUUUUUACAUUUAAAUCUAGGGUUAAACUCUGUUUACUACCCUAAUGUUUCGUGGUUUUCUACAUUUAGUACAUCAAAUUUUUUUCAUCCCAGAGUCAUACCUAAAGUGUUAAUUUUGGGACAGUCUCAUACAUCCAUUAGUCAAACUGUUAGUUCUCACGUUAAGUGAUGAUGUGGCGCCCAUGUGGACAAUGACUGGGCCCCACGUGUCAUUAAAAAAUAUUAAAAUAAUUAAUUAUGUAACACCCGCCCCCACUUAUAAAAUUAUAUGUGUGUAAUAUUCCCUAAAUAUUCUGAAUCUAUCAAUUUUACCCUUUUUGGACUACCCUAUCAGGAUCUAAACAUUGGAUCCUUCUUUCUUUUCAAACUGCCACGUGGCAGCUCCCUAGCAAUUUCCCUGUCUUCUCUCUCUGUCCCCCCCCCGUGACUCCUUCUUUCUCUUCUUCUUUUUCUGUUUUCUUUUCUUUCUUCUGUCUGUCUCUCUGUCCCUCCCGACUCUAUCUCUUUCUCUCGUCUCUCUCUCAUAGCUCCCUCAUCUCUCUUCUCUGCAGCAACCCGCACGCACGCACCCAUCUCCCCCGCGCGAAGAAGACCCAUCUCCUUCUUCUCUCUCCCUCUGUCCCGUGCUGCGAGCCCAGAAACCGGAGAGGAACUCCGGCGAAACCUUUAUUUUCCCGGUUGGGACGAAUCGAAGCCGGGUGUAAGCACACCCAACUCCGGCGAUCCCGAGGGUGUCGGGGCUUUUUCCGGCCAUCUCCGAUCGUUCCACGACGAAAGGAAGGUGCAAUUAUUAACGGUGAUUCUGUUAUACCUUCUUGGUAUAGCUUUGCACCGUUGGUGUACGGUGAGUGGACCCCUUCAAAAUCAUGUUUUAACAAUAGAAAUGCAUACAUGAAAAGCAUGAUUUAAUACUUAUGUUUUACGAAGUACUUUAUGAGAUAUAUGCUUACUGAGGCUAGAUUGAAUUAUUACUAUUUUUCCUAUAACCCAUGUUCUUAUAGAAUAUCCGAUGGAUGACGAUAUGAUAUUAGAACAUGUUUAGAACACCUCUUUGUAGUAUAGAUGAUGGAUGACUUUAUACUACGAAGUUGUUUUUCAAUAUGUUAUGCUCAAUGGUUUUGUACUUACCUAGUGGUCCUUUCCGCUACGGGACGUAGGGAUAGAUUCCGGUCCGUCCCGAGCGACGGUUUGGUGUUGGCAUAGGGCCUGGAGUGUGUUUCCUCUGGCUAUUUAGCACAGGGACGGGGAGCCGGCAUGGGGUCUGUAGUGUAUUUUCCUCUGACUGUCUGCUCAGAGACGGGGAGCUGGCAUGGGGCCUGUAGAGUAUCGGACAAUUCACUAGUGUUUAUUACUUAUACAAGUUAUGAAUUUGAGAUAUUGCACGGCAUGCUAGGUUUCGGAAAAUCUAUUUUGAUCAUGAUAUAUGUGUUUUCAUUAAACCUGGGGGUUAGUAUGUUGAUAACUGUUUUAUUAUAUUUAUAUCAAACUGGUCCACUCAUGUUUGUUUUGCGCCCCCUUCAGGACCUACGAACGAGGAUUACGAUAUAAGCUACGAGGCUUUUCCCUAUCAGUGAUCCAGUGCUAUACUUCUUCUGCUUCGAUAUCUUUUGUAAUAUAGCACAUCUCUAUUUUAAAUUCUGUUUGUACUCUGUAAUAGAUGUAUGCUUUGACAUUAUGCGUGGAUCCUAAUGUUGUAAUUAGAAGUUGAAUUUGUAGUAUUAUUGUGGCUAGUCUUGCUGCCUGUUUUAGCUUAUUUGUGAGUUUUUACUUAAAUUAAUGGCUUUCGUCACCCUUUGGGUGUCGGCCAGCACGUGAUAAUCCCGAUGUCACGAGGACAUCGGGAUCGGGGCGUGUCAGAUUGGUAUCAGAGCAUGAUUCAUUCAGAGCAUACUUAGGAUUCUUUUCCACCAUUUGGUAAUUAUAAUUCCCCUUAUAUCCUUAAUUUUCUGUUGUUCUAAAUCUUUCUUGUUUCUUAUCAGAAUUAUGGAUCCCGCUGGUGGGCAUGUACCUCGUCGAGCUCGUUUUGGUAUAGGGGGAGGACUUGAGCAAUUGGCUAAUGUUUUGCGAACUGCCCUUACUGGUAGAUCAUCGAAUCGCACCUAUAUUGAGAUUGCUACCAGUCAUGGUAUUCCAGAGCUUAAGGUAGUGGGAGCCUGUCCGGAGGCUGAGGAAUGGUUAGAGCAGGUGGAAGAUACUCUGGAGGGUAUGAGAUGUCCACCAGGUGAGUGGGCGGAGACUGCUGGGUUUUUUCUUAAGGGUCCUGCAAAGAUUUGGUGGAAAGGAGUGAAGCAUUCUCGUCCACGAGGCACUUCGAUGACUUGGGUGGCAUUCCGGAAAGCUUUCAGUGCACAUUUUCUGAGUCCCAGUUAUCAGUUGAGGAUGAGACAACAAUUUCUGGAGUUUCGUCAAGGCGAUCUGAGUAUCACAGAGAUGGAUAAUACUUUUCGACGCCUGUCGAGACACCAUCCGGUGACUUAUGAUAACCCGAGUGAGAAGAUGGUUCAGUUGCUGGUUUGUUUGAACCCUGAUUAUCGUGAACGAGUGGCAGCUAUAAGGCACAGAAGUUAUGAGGAAAUGAUUGAGACUUGUUUGAGGAUUGAACAAUCUAGGUGGGAGACUCAGCACCAGGAGGAGCAGGCGCAGUAUCAGGAACCACCCAGAUAUCAGGAACAACCUCGGAACCAGAACCAGAGAGGUCAUGGUUUUAGAUCUCGGAGUGUGAGGAAAUCUGGUAGCUCUUCUAACUUUGUUGGCCCUAGACACUCUCAUUCCUUCAAACGUCAGGGUCAAGGUUCAGGUUCUUCCAGCGAGGGUUCGGGUAAUGAAUCAGGGAGGCGAUAUUUCAGUCAUUUUCGAUCGCAGGUUACGUGCCACAGGUGUGGAGGCAUGGGACAUAUUGCCAGAUUUUGCCCUUCAGGACAGCCUGCUGAGAGUUAUGCAUCGGUGCCGAGUUAUGGUGGAGGGAGUAAUCCGAGUUCUAGCUAUGGAGGUAAUUACACUCAGAGUUAUGGUGGAAGUGGAAGUGGAAGUCAGAAUACCCAAUUUUCCACUCAGAGACAGCCGCAACAGUUUGGUGCAGCUUCGAGUAGCCGCUCUCAGGGGAAUCGAGCAGGCCGUAAUAAUCAAGGUUUCAGAGCUCGUGGUAACCGUAACAGUGGUGGAGGACGUCAGUUUCAUGGACGUAUCAACGCCAUGACACAGCAGGAGGCUGAUCAGGAUCCUCAAGUCAUUACCGGUAUGUUACUUAUUUGUGGUAACUGGGCGAGGGUUCUAAUCGAUCCGAGUGCUACUUUUUCUUUUGUGUCUUCAUCUUUUGCACCGAAUUUAAAUGCACCACCUACACCUCUUGGUUAUGAUAUGCUUGUGCAAAUGCCGCAAGGGGAUCUGUUUUGUGCUCAGUGGGAGUAUAAAAGUUGCCCAGUGGUAGUGGAAGGGGAAAUGAUGGAGGCUAAUCUGGUCCCUUUUCAUUUGGCGGAGUUCGAUGUGAUUUUGGGGAUGGAUUGGCUAUCCAGGCACCGGGCCUAUGUCGCAUGUUGGGAGAAAUCUGUGACGUUCAAUCGACCUGGACGACCGUCAAUCACAUUUCAGGGUGAGCGACGAAUCCUUCCUAGUAGUAUUAUUUCCGCUAUUCAGGCUACUAGAUUGUUGAGUAGGGGAUGUGUGGGAUUCUUAGCUCAUGUAGUAACGAGGGAUAAAUCUUCGUUACGUCCUAAGGAUGUGCCAGUGGUGAAGCAUUACACCGAUGUUUUCCCGGAGGAUUUACCAGGGUUACCGCCUGCGAGGGAAAUUGAAUUUACCAUCGAUUUACUUCCAGGAACAGACCCUAUCUCUUUAGCACCUUAUCGCAUGGCACCGGCGGAGUUGAGGGAAUUGAAGGUUCAACUUCAGGAAUUGGUGGAUAAAGGUUACAUCCAACCCAGUAUGUCUCCCUGGGGUGCUCCUGUUUUAUUUGUUAAAAAGAAGGAUGGAUCGAUGAGACUUUGCAUCGACUAUCGGCAGUUAAACCGGGUGACGGUGAAGAAUCGAUAUCCUUUGCCUCGGAUCGACGAUCUGUUCGACCAGCUGAAGGGUGCUCAGAUAUUCUCUAAGAUAGAUCUUCGCUCAGGUUAUCACCAGUUGUUAAUUCGGGAGGGAGAUGUACCGAAGACUGCUUUCCGCACUAGGUAUGGACACUUUGAAUUUCGUGUCAUGCCUUUCGGACUGACGAAUGCACCUGCAGCAUUCAUGGAUUUGAUGAACAGAGUUUUCAGACCGUAUUUGGAUCGGUUUGUGAUUGUGUUCAUUGAUGAUAUUCUGAUCUUUUCCAAGAGUGUCAGCGAGCACAAGAAGCAUUUGAGGUUGGUGUUGGAAAGGUUGAGCAGUGAGCAGUUGUAUGCUAAGUUUAGCAAGUGUCAGUUCUGGCUAACCCAAAUUAGCUUUCUCGGUCAUGUAGUAUCUGCUGAGGGGAUUAGUGUGGAUCCUCAGAAGGUGUCAGCAAUAACUACGUGGGAGCAACCGAGGAAUGUUACUGAAGUGAGGAGUUUUCUAGGUCUGGCUGGCUAUUACCGAAGAUUUGUUAAAGGUUUCUCAGCCAUUGCCUUACCUCUGAAUAAGUUGACUCGAAAGGAAGUGGAGUUUAAGUGGGAUGAAGAUUGUGAGCGGAGUUUUCAGGAACUGAAGCGAUGUCUUACUCAAGCUCCCGUUCUUACUCUUCCAGACGAUAGCGGUGAGUUUGAUAUCUACACGGAUGCAUCAUUAUCAGGUUUGGGUUGUGUACUGAUGCAGCAUGAUAAAGUCAUUGAUUAUGCUUCCAGACAGCUCAAAAUUCACGAGAGAAACUAUCCCACUCAUGAUUUGGAACUUGGUGCAGUAGUGUUUGCUUUGAAGAUCUGGAGACAUUACUUGUACGGUGAGAAGUGUCGUAUCUUUACUGAUCAUAAGAGCCUCAAGUAUAUCUUUACUCAGAGGGAUUUGAAUUUGAGGCAGAGAAGAUGGAUGGAACUUAUCACUGAUUAUAACUGCACGAUCGAGUAUCAUCCCGGACAUGCCAAUGUAGUGGCAGAUGCACUUAGUCGGAAAUAUCAUGGAUAGCUUGCAUCUCUCCAAGCUAUUCAUGUUCCACUACUAUUUUCUCUUCGAGAAACAGGCUUGUCGGUGAGACCGGGUGAGCAAUGAGCGUGGUUGGCAAAUUUCCAAGUUAGACCUGUUUUGGUGGAUAUAGUCAUAGAAGCUCAGGAGCUUGAUCAGGAGAGUGCCAACAUUAAGGUCUCGGUGGAAAAAGGAGAAGAGAAGCAUUUUAUCAUCCGAAGUGAUGGAGCCUUGAUGUGGGAAAACAGAUUGUAUGUUCCUCAUGAUAACGAAGCAGUGAAAAGAGCAAUUCUGGAUGAAGCACAUUUGUCAGCUUAUGCCAUGCAUCCGGGAAGUACUAAACUGUAUCGCACUAUCCGUCUGUUCUAUUAUUGGUUGGGAAUGAAGCGGGAUGUGGCGGAUUAUGUGAGUAGAUGCAUCAUUUGUCAACAAGUAAAGGCAGAGAGGCAAAGACCUGGAGGAUUGAUGCAGAAUCUUCCGAUACCAGCAUGGAAAUGGGAAGACAUCACCAUGGAUUUUGUGUAUGGUCUGCCGAGGACGCGGUCGAGAUUGGACGGCAUAUGGGUAAUUGUUGAUCGACUGACUAAGACCGCUCAUUUCUUACCUGUUCGACAGACCUAUUCAAUGGAGAAAUUAUCGAAGUUGUUCAUCGAUAAUAUUGUUAGACUUCAUGGUGUACCUGUCUCUAUUGUUUCAGACAGAGAUCCCAGAUUUACUUCCAAAUUUUGGAAAGCUUUUAAUACUGCCAUGGGUACUCAGUUGCUGUUUAGUACUGCUUAUCAUCCACAGACUGACGGUCAGUCCGAGAGGACAAUACAAACAUUGGAGGACAUGUUGAGAGUGUCUGUUCUUCAGUGGAAGGGUAGUUGGGAUAACUAUCUGCCGUUGGUUGAAUUUGCAUACAACAACAGCUACCAUUCGAGUAUUGGUGUGGCACCUUAUGAAGCCUUGUAUGGGAGAGUGUGUCGAACGCCGUUGUGUUGGGCAGAGGUCGGCGAGCGAGUAUUGUUGGGACCGGAGAUUGUAGACACUACCAAUGAGAACAUCCAGCUGAUAAAGAGAAAUCUCAAGGCAGCUCAAGACCGACAGAAAAGCAUAGCGGACAAACAUUCCAAAGAUCGUGAGUACAAGAUUGGUGACUUUGUAUUCUUGAAGUUGUCUCCCUGGAAGGGUGUGGUUCGUUUUGGUAAACGAGGAAAGUUGAGUCCUCGAUAUGUUGGUCCUUAUCAGAUUACGGAGAGAAUUGGUGCAGUUGCCUAUAGAUUGGAGUUGCCACCGGAGUUGUCUCAGAUUCACAAUGUUUUCCAUAUUUCUAUGCUUCGGAAAUAUGUAUCAGAUCCCUCUCAUGUUAUUCAGCUAGAGCCGCUGGAAGUAAGUCCGGAUGUUAGUUAUGUUGAAGAACCAGUGGCUAUUCUUGACCAGCAGAAUAAAGUGUUGAGGAACAAGGUCAUUCCGUUGGUGAAAGUGUUGUGGAGGAACCACGCUACUGAAGAAGCGACGUGGGAAACGGAAGACCUGAUGAGGAGUCAGUAUCCGUAUUUAUUUGCUUGAAGUUGUAAUUUCGGGGACGAAAUUUUUAUAAGGGGGGUAGAUUGUAACACCCGCCCCCACUUAUAAAAUUAUAUGUGUGUAAUAUUCCCUAAAUAUUCUGAAUCUAUCAAUUUUACCCUUUUUGGACUACCCUAUCAGGAUCUAAACAUUGGAUCAUUCUUUCUUUUCAAACUGCCACGUGGCAGCUCCCUAGCAAUUUCCCUGUCUUCUCUCUUUGUCCCCCCCCCCGUGACUCCUUCUUUCUCUUCUUCUUUUUCUGUUUUCUUUUCUUUCUUCUGUCUGUCUCUCUGUCCCUCCCGACUCUAUCUCUUUCUCUCGUCUCUCUCUCAUAGCUCCCUCAUCUCUCUUCUCUGCAGCAACCCGCACGCACGCACCCGUCUCCCCCGCGCGAAGAAAACCCAUCUCCUUCUUCUCUCUCCCUCUGUCCCGUGCUGCGAGCCCGGAAACCGGAGAGGAACUCCGGCGAAACCUUUAUUUUCCCGGUUGGGACGAAUCGAAGCCGGGUGUAAGCACACCCAACUCCGGCGAUCCCGAGGGUGUCGGGGCUUUUUCCGGCCAUCUCCGAUCGUUCCACGACGAAAGGAAGGUGCAAUUAUUAACGGUGAUUCUGUUAUACCUUCUUGGUAUAGCUUUGCACCGUUGGUGUACGGUGAGUGGACCCCUUCAAAAUCAUGUUUAACAAUAGAAAUGCAUACAUGAAAAGCAUGAUUUAAUACUUAUGUUUUACGAAGUACUUUAUGAGAUAUAUGCUUACUGAGGCUAGAUUGAAUUAUUACUAUUUUUCCUAUAACCCAUGUUCUUAUAGAAUAUCCGAUGGAUGACGAUAUGAUAUUAGAACAUGUUUAGAACACCUCUUUGUAGUAUAGAUGAUGGAUGACUUUAUACUACGAAGUUGUUUUUCAAUAUGUUAUGCUCAAUGGUUUUGUACUUACCUAGUGGUCCUUUCCGCUACGGGACGUAGGGAUAGAUUCCGGUCCGUCCCGAGCGACGGUUUGGUGUUGGCAUAGGGCCUGGAGUGUGUUUCCUCUGGCUAUUUAGCACAGGGACGGGGAGCCGGCAUGGGGCCUGUAGUGUAUUUUCCUCUGACUGUCUGCUCAGAGACGGGGAGCUGGCAUGGGGCAUGUAGAGUAUCGGACAAUUCACUAAUGUUUAUUACUUAUACAAGUUAUGAAUUUGAGAUAUUGCACGGCAUGCUAGGUUUCGGAAAAUCUAUUUUGAUCAUGAUAUAUGUGUUUUCAUUAAACCUGGGGGUUAGUAUGUUGAUAACUGUUUUAUUAUAUUUAUAUCAAACUGGUCCACUCAUGUUUGUUUUGCGCCCCCUUCAGGACCUACGAACGAGGAUUACGAUAUAAGCUACGAGGCUUUUCCCUAUCAGUGAUCCAGUGCUAUACUUCUUCUGCUUCGAUAUCUUUUGUAAUAUAGCACAUCUCUAUUUUAAAUUCUGUUUGUACUCUGUAAUAGAUGUAUGCUCUGACAUUAUGCGUGGAUCCUAAUGUUGUAAUUAGAAGUUGAAUUUGUAGUAUUAUUGUGGCUAGUCUUGCUGCCUGUUUUAGCUUAUUUGUGAGUUUUUACUUAAAUUAAUGGCUUUCGUCACCCUUUGGGUGUCGGCCAGCACGUGAUCAUCCCGAUGUCACGAGGACAUCGGGAUCGGGGCGUGUCAAAUUAAAUAAAAGUUAUAAAAAAAAAACCGAAUCUGCAACCCAGAAGAAGAACCUUCUGGGUACGUGUUUGCAGUUGCGGGGCGAAUUCUAGAUCUUAAUUGGAUUAUUAGUUUCUGUUGUAAUAUGGUAGUUAGAAGAUUAAAAAAAACUAUGAUUUAUGCUUCAUAUGCUAACAAUUAACAGAUAAUUAAUGAAAUUUUUAAUUUUAAAUCUAAAUCCUAACAUAUUUUACAAUAGAAGCUUAAAUCUUAAUUUACUCAAUCACAUGGAUUAUUUUAUAACUACCUUACUAUUAAUUCAAUUAAACCUAUUAUUUCUACGAAAACUAACAAAAAUUUCAAAAAAAACUUUAGUUUUAAUGAAAAAAGAAAAAUGAAGAUUUGGUAAAUAAUACCAAAAAAAAAAUAAAAAUAUAAAUUUUCAUUAAAAAUGAACAGCAUCAAAAGUGUUUUAUUAAUACUCCAAUUAUUUAUUUACAAAUACGUGACUAAAUGAAAGGGAGCACUCAAAAUGAUGAAAAGCAGGAGCACCGAAGGCUAUCUCCGUUUCUUUGUUGAGUGGACAGCUGUCUCUUCGUCUUCUUUUGGCAGAUAGCUCCUAGUGGCCAGCCUAUAUUCCACAGCUGGUUAUAGGAUUCGGUUGCUAUAUAAGAAGUGUUUUGUUGUAAUUCAAUAUCGAUAGAAAUCCAAUAGGAUCUUUUUCAAAAUUUUGUGCGGAUUUUGGUAUGUUCGUAAAUCGUAUUUGUUCAUAUUAUACGCUCAUUUUUCAUGGAAUAUUAUUUUUGUUUAAUUUUAAAUAAAAUAAUUUAAAAUAAUUUUUUAUUGUAACAUGUACAAUGAACGGAUAUGAAUUGAUUCACAGAUCUUCAAAAUCCUUACAAAGAAAAUCCAAAAAUAAUCCGAAUUCAAUGGAGAUAAGUUAAUUUUGAAUCAAAUAACAUUAGGAAAAAAAAUUAACAUUAGACGGUUUUAAAUAAUUUAUUGUAUAUUUUUAGGGAAUUGUUAUUAGCACUUUAAAAAUCUCAUUUUACACUCCAAACUUUUUAUAUUAGAAAAGAAAAAUACACUUAUGAGGAAUGUAGAAUAAGAUUUUUGAAUUAACCAUGCAAAAAUGUAAUGUUAAAGCAUCAUGUCAUACAGACCUCUUCAAGGUACCAGAAAUUUUUGCACUAAAGAUGUCACAAGCAGCUGAUAUGAAGCUGCAUUUUCUGUGAGUUGAAAUUUUGUCAAUAUAAUCGAUCACCUGAAGAGAGAGAGAGAGAGAAAGACAGUGAUGUCCAGAGAUGUGAGCCUAAAUGCUGAGUGUGUAAAAAAAGAAGAUUAAAUGGAUAGCAAGAAUAUACAACUUUAAUGCUGAAAAGAACAUUGAAUAUGAUGCUCAUUCAUCAUUGCCAUUGAACGUGUACCUUCUUCUUUUCCUCUUUCUCAAAAGCAAGUAGAGCCUUGAAGACUUGCCUAUAUGAUCCAUCAUCACAACCAGGCAAAGUUGUUUUAAUCAUAGCAACAAUGGCUCUAACUAACUACCUGCCAUAAGAAACAUGCUACAUCAACAAGAUCACAGAGUGUACCAGAAACCGUAAUGUAGCAAAAUCUUAGAUAAAAUAGCUGGCCAAAAGGGAAUGGAAAAGCAAGCACAAAAAACAAUGAAAAGGACCAGUGAUGCCAAAAUUCUGGUGGAAAAGGUGAAAAGCUUAUGUCUAUUACAGUUCUUGUAUGCAUUCUUUAUAACUUAAGUUCUACGUAGCAAAAACCACCUUAUGCACAACAAUAUUGGAAAAAUUAGAUACAUACAACUGAGAAGAUAGGUUUUCAUAAUCUGGACAAGUGCUAACUACCUUCUUCCUAUAAACUGCCACUCCAUGAACAUUAAAUGGUAUUUUCCUUUCACGCAAGGCUGUCUGGAAGACUUUUCCUGAUACCUGUAGAAUAAAUUACAAAAGAAAAUGUGACCAAAAUGUCUUAUAUGAUUCACCUCAUUCACAUUAGCACUAAGGCAAGUAAGCUUGACCUGCCUCCGGUAAAGGAUUGCUAUAUUUCCAUAGGAGCACCCUGCUUCUGACCGUUUAGAUGCAGUCUCCAGGAUCUUGUCGACAACAAAGGCGCAUUGUGCAUCCUCAUUGUGACUUUCCUUGAUAAUUACCUACAUUUUGCCAGUAAAACCAGUGUCACUAACUAAAAGGACUGAAAAAUGACAUCAAAUUGUACUUGUUGGAGCAAGGAAAGAUUAAGUACCUUAGACCCAGAAGAAUUGUCCGUGUCAACAUUCUUUAGUUGGCAUCACUUCUUAUUGUUUUUUAUAACAGAAGAUGCAGCUUCCACACAAUAUAGCGUGUGGACCGAAAGUUCUUAUUAAGCCUAAUCUGAACCAUAAAGUUAUGUCAAAUCCCACAGAACCCCAUAAAAUAAAACUUACUUUCCUGUAAUUGUACAAUAUAUUUGUUCUAUACUAUAUAUAACGAAAAAAGACACCGUGAAUGACAUAAGAUAACAUAGCAGUCAAGUGCGAAGCGAACCUCUUUGUAAUUUGAAAAAUCUUUACGAAAAGAAUCAAAUCCAGAAAUGUCCGCCCCAUUGAAACUGAAAAUGGACUGCAGCAGGAUAUAUGUUAUUUGAUUUAGAACAGAUAAGGGCUGGAUUAGAAUGAGCUGAGAGAGGGAGAGAGGGAGAGACGGAGCAAUAACAUUGGAUUUCCAUAAUAAAUCAACAACAUGCCUGAUCAUCAUCACCAACAAUGGUUAUGUGGUUAUGAGAGGCGAGAAUCCGCAAAAGUCUAUAUUGCAUAGCACUUGUGUCUUGAAACUCGUCUAUUACAAUAGCUUUCCAUGACUCCUGGCACUCCUUCAACACUAAUUAAGAGAACACCAUGUAUCAACAUUUAGCAUUACUUGUAAAACUAGAUAAAUCAAUGAAAUAUACUUAGAUGAUAGAGACCUUCAGGAAAAUCACUUAGCAGCUUCACAGAGCAGCUAAUUAAGUCGUGGUAGUCCAAAGCGUUGCACGAUUUCAAGAUAUCAUUGUAAUUCCUAAGAAUUUCACCCUGAUUCAGAUUGAGAGCUAAAACUCAUAAGCAAUAGUUUCAAAGAACUGAAAUGAUAUCUGAAAUUCUAGUUCUGAGCGUACUCCUGUCACAUCACCCAUUCUUUGGCAUUCAGCGGGAGUUCUUUCCAGAAGCUUUUGCCUGAAACAUAAAUAAAUUUAUUGCCUAAUGCCACAUAUUGUAAGACACACCAUUGUAUUGGUCACUCUAGCUAAGCACAAUGAGCUUCAGUGGCAUACGGCGGUCACACAACACGCCGGAUGCACUCUUCCACUUCAUCCAUCCAGCUUGUAUUCUAUGGUUGAGAUCUCCAUCUAAUUCUCCGUUCUUUUGCAAAAUAGAUCCUAGGUAACGAAAACGGUCGCUCUUUGAUAUUUCUUGAUCUCCGAUCCUCACCCCUAAAUCGUUUUGGCCUCCAUUUGCACUGAACUUGCACUCCAUAUAUUCUGUCUUUGAUCGGCUUAGGCGAAAACCUUUAGAUUCCAACACUUCUCUCCAAAGGUUAAGCUUUGCAUUUACCCCUUCCUGAGUUUCAUCUAUCAACACUAUAUCGUCUGCGAAAAGCAUACACCAAGGAAUAUCACCUUGAAUAUGUCCUGUUAACUCAUCCAUUACCAACGCAAAAAAGGUAAGGACUUAAGGAUGAGCCUUGAUGUAAUCCUACAGUUAUGGGAAAGCUUUCGGUUUGUCCUUCAUGAGUUCUUACGGCAGUCUUUGCUCCUUCAUACAUAUCUUGUAUAGCUUGGAUAUAUGCUACUCGUACUCCUUUCUUCUCUAAAAUCCUCCAAAGAAUGUCUCUUGGGACCCUAUCAUACGCUUUUUCCAAAUCUAUAAAGACCAUGUGUAAAUCCUUUUUCCCAUCUCUAUAUCUUUCCAUCAAUCUUCGUAAGAGAUAGAUUGCCUCCAUGGUUGAGCGCCCUGGCAUGAACCCGAAUUGGUUGUCCGAAACCCGUCUCUUGCCUCAAUCUAUGCUCAAUGACUCUCUCCCAGAGCUUCAUUGUAUGACUCAUUAGCUUAAUACCACUAUAGUUCAUGCAAUUUUGUACAUCGCCCUUAUUCUUGUAGAUAGGCACCAAAGUGCUAAUUCGCCACUCAUUCGGCAUCUUCUUCGUUUUCAAAAUCCUAUUGAAAAGGUCAGUGAGCCAUGUUAUACCUGUCUCUCCCAAAACUUUCCACACUUCGAUUGGUAUAUUGUCUGGGCCUACUGCUUUUCUAUGUUUCAUCUUCUUCAAAGCUACAACCACUUAUUCCUUCCGGAUUCCACGAUAAAAAAAGUAGUUUCUACACUCUUCUGAGUUACUCAACUCCCCUAAAGAAGCACUCAUUUCAUGUCCUUCAUUGAAAAGAUUAUGAAAAUAACCUUUCCAUCUGUCUUUAACCGCGUUCUCUGUAGCAAGAACCUUUCCAUCCUCAUCCUUAAUGCACCUCACUUGGUUUAGGUCCCUUGUCUUCUUUUCCCUUACUCUAGCUAGUUUAUAGAUAUCCAACUCUCCUUCUUUGGUAUCUAGUCGCUUAUACAUAUCGUCAUAAGCCGCUAACUUAGCUUCUCUCACAGCUUUCUUCGCCUCUUGCUUCGCAUUUCUAUACCUUUCACCAUUUUCAUCGGUCCUAUCCUUGUAUAAGGUUUUACAACAUUCCUUCUUAGCCUUCACCUUUGCUUGUACCUCCUCAUUCCACCACCAAGAUUCCUUUUGGUGUGGGGCAAAGCCCUUGGACUCUCCUAAUACCUCUUUUGCUACUUUUCGGAUACAACUAGCCAUGGAAUCCCACAUUUGAUUAACUUCCCCCUCUCUAUCCCACACACACUGGGUGAUUACUUUCUCUUUGAAAAUGGCUUAUUUUUCUUCUUUUAGAUUCCACCAUCUAGUCCUUGGGCACUUCCAAGUCUUGUUCUUUUUUCUCACUCUUUUGAUAUGUACAUCCAUCACCAACAAGCGAUGUUGAUUAGCCACGCUCUCUCCUGGUAUAACUUUGCAAUCUUUACAAGUUAUACGAUCCCCUUUCCUCAUUAGAAGAAAAUAUAUUUGUGUUUUUGACGACCCACUCUUGUAGGUGAUCACAUGUUCUUCUCUCUUCUUAAAGAAGGUGUUGGCUAAGAAGAGAUCAUAUGCCAUUGCAAAAUCCAAGAUAGCUUCCCCAUCCUCGUUUCUCUCCCCAAAACCAUGGCCACCAUGAAAACCUCCAUAGUUGCCUGUCUCCCUGCCCACGUGUCCAUUUAAAUCUCCUCCUAUAAAUAACUUCUCCGUCUGAGCAAUUCCUUGCACCAAGUCUCCAAGGUCUUCCCAAAAUUUCUCCUUCGAACUCGUAUCCAACCCUACUUGAGGUGCGUACGCACUAAUCACAUUGAUAAGUUAUUGUCCUAUUACAAUCUUGAUUGCCAUGAUUCUAUCUCCUACCCUCUUGACAUCUACAACAUCUUGUGUCAAGGUCUUGUCCACGAUGAUGCCAACACCGUUUCUCGUUCUAUUUGUGCCCGAAUACCAUAGUUUAAACCCUGAGUUUCUAGAUAUAUAUAUAUAUAUAUAUAUAUAUCAAAUGGCCCCUAAAUGCUAUUAAAAAUCUCAAAAAUUAACAGGAAACUAAAACAAAUUAGAAUUUAUUCAUGGUUUCGCAAUUCCCAGCCGGGUAAACUGGUGGCCGUUGUAAGAGAGGGCCUCCAGCCGGAUAAACAUUUUCGAGUUAUAUGAUAUUUGUAUAGCAAAAAUACUUUAAUAGCAAGUGCGCGUGAGUGAAGAAAUUGAACUUACUUAUAUUCUUUCGAAUCCCAACCGGAAAAAUUGCAGGCUCUGGGAAGAGCGGACCUCCAGCUCUGCACCUCCUUCACGUCAACGUUAGAACGACCUUCAUGUUUAGCAAAAGCUUCUGCAAAACUUCCCUCGAGUUUACGAAUAUUGGACGGAUCGACUUGGUAGAAAAUGGGGAAUACAAUCUGGUUCUUGGAAUGGUUGCAUUCCAAGAUUUCCACGAGUUCUUUCAAGCACCAUGUGGAUGAAGCAUAGUUUUCAGAGAAAACUACAAUCGAAAUCCUUGACUCUCGAAUCGCUGUCAGGAGCUCGGAAAGGCGGUCGCCUUUUCUGAGGUCUUCGGCAUCAAUGAACGUGUUGAUUGGUUUCUGACGCAGAGCUUUGUAGAGAUGGCUGACGAAGCCCGUGCGAGUGUCUUCCCCUCUAAAAUUGAUGAACACAUCGUAUUCCCAACCAAGGCAAGAAGAAGAAGAAGAAGCAGCAAUUAAUCGAUCGCACCUGGGCAGCGAUGAUCGAGCAGCUUAAGACUAAGAGAAUUGUAAGUACAGAAACACUCAAUAGAUCUACAAAUUGGAUCACCAGAAAUUAGUCAAUGAGUCAAUGCAAAAGGGAAAAGGGCAAUUAUGCUUUUUGCGUUUUCACAUCUUCUUCAGGAAAUUUCGGUGUGAAAGGAAUCCGCAUACUUUUGAUUUUUCAACCCAAGAAAAUGCGAAGAAAGGGGACAAAGUAGUAAAUUUAAUCUACAGUUGCCUACCCAACAACCUCUUGAUUUAAUAUAUAUUUAAUUAGGAAAAGUAGUUUAGAGGAAGGAUGGUAUCUCCUUUUCUUCUCUCUCGAUCAGUCAAUCUUCCCGCGUGCGAUUUAAUCAUGAUUAAAGCUAAGCUUAAUCUUAGAUCGUAUUAUUUAGGUCUAAUUGGAUUCUUAAUUCUUGUUGUGAUAUAGUAGUUGGAAGAUUAAAAAAAAUUAUGAUUUAAAUGUUUGUGGUGAAGUCUGUUACGAUUUAGUUUCAAACUUGAAAAUUUCGUUAACUCCGUUAAUUAUUAGCACAUGAGACUCACAAAUGAAACUAAAAAUAUAAAGUUAGCCUCACAUGUAAUCUUCACGUGCUAACAAUUAAAAGAGAGUUCCGUUUUAGCUUAAUAUAUGUGACUCACGUGUUAAUAAUUAACGGAAUAUUAACAAAAAUUUUAAUUUUAAGCAUAAAUUCAAAUAAACUUCACCACAUAAGCUUAAAUUCUAAUUUAGAUAUCUUCUAACUAUCUUAUCACCAUAAAAAUUAUAAUCAAAUUAAACUUAUUAUUUAUUUAUAAAUGCGUAAUUAAAUCACAAAGUGUUGAAUGAAAGGGAGCACUCCAAAUGAUGAAAGAUGUGUGAUAUCCACACAUCUUUUUUUUUACUUUUUACACAUCGUUUUAAUUUUCGACUGUCGGAUCGAAUUAAUUGAAGAAAAUCAAAGGAUAAAAAUCAACAAAGGGUGUGCAAGAAGUAAAAAUGAGUGUGUGGAUAGUCAUCCCAUGAAAAGCGGGAGCAUCGAAAGCUAUCUCCGUUUCUUGUUGUCUAUUUGUCUUCUUUUGGCAGAUAGCUCCUAGGGACCGGCCUAUUUUCCACAGCUGGUUAUAGGACUCAGUUACUAUAGAAGGAGUGUUUUGUUGUAAUUCAAUAUCGAUGGAAAUCCAACAUAAUCUUUUUCAAAUUUUUGUGAGGAUUUUGGGGUGUACGUAAAUUGAUUAUGUUCAUCGUAUAUUAUGUGACCAUUUUUUAUCAAAUACUAUUUGUGUUUCAUUUUAAAUAAAAUAAUUUAAAAUAAUUUUUAACUGCAAGAUGUACAAUGAACGGAUAUAAUUCACAAAUCUCCAAAAUCCUUACAAAAAAAUCCGAAAAAGAUCCAAAUUCAAUGGAAAUAAGCUAAUUUUGAAUCAAAUUACAUUACUUUAUUUUGUAAAUAAAUUAAUUUUGAAUCGAACAACAUUCAUUUAUUAUGUAAGUAAUUCAUUUUGUAUGUAUCAUCAUAUAUAUUAGGCACAUUUUAUCAUAGGUGAUUUUGUGAAAAAUUAAUAAAAAGUUACAAUAUUAACAAUAGAUCAAUAAUAUUUAUGUUAAUUAUAAAUAGGUUAACCAUAUGUUGUGAUACUUAAAUACAUUUAAAAUAAAUAAAAAUUACAAAAUCUGACAUCCACUGCGACGUAGGAGCCACGGUGCAGCCCAAACUUUGCAGAUAAGAAAUCUGGUAAUUCACAGCAUGACAAACAAAUUACUGGGUCUCCUGACCAUCGUUGAUGCCAAUGUGUGCACAAGGAAAGGAGUAAGGUAAUCAAAUGCGUUAGUCUUGUGUACCUGUUUCGGUGUUGGUUUGGAUGAACCCAUUGAGUUCUCGAUCCUUAACUUCUGGAAAUGCUCCUGAAAGCAUAAAUAUAUGUACGGAUUUAAACCAAUGACAAAUGGACAUAAUUUACGGACAAUGAUUGAAGAAAAUACAGAUAUAAACGCCUCAGUAUUCCAUUGACGAAAGUUCUAGAUUUGAUGAAUCAAAAGUCCCACGUUGAGACUGCGUUAAGGCAAAUGGUUCUCAAAACCUGUUUUUCCCUCAUCAAAUGAGCGCGUUGAUCUGCAGGUAUUUUCUGCCAUCUCAAAACCUGUUACAAAGAAAUAUAACGUUGAUGUCGAGCUGGAUAGCAUAUUAUACCAAUUAUGUGUACAAACCUAUUGAAAUAAAGUAGCUGUAGUUGCAUAUUACGACAGAUAUUAACGAAAACAAAAGAAGGCUCGCCUAUUCAAGAUCCUAAAUCCCGUGAUUCUUUUGUUUUUAGUUUCAGAAAUUUUCAGAGCAAACUGGAAAGUACCAAGAUACUUACAUAUUGGGCAUAAUGAAAUGCAUCUUCAUCUUUCAAGCAAGAUUUGAGUGAGCGCAAACCGUCCUGAGAGUUACAUAAGUCAAUCAGUAAUAUAAAAACGUAGACGCAUCACAUCCAAACACAAGUAUUCAAACACCAACAACUUCUUCAUGCGGUGAGGCAUGUUAAAAAAUAGGGAAGAACAGUUAUUGAAUAGGAAGUUAAAGGACUAAAUUUAUGACCUUGUGUUUGUAGUUCUUGGCUCGUAUGCGUUCAUCUAUUACAAAACCAAUCUGUAACAGGUACAACAGAAAAUAUAAGCAGUAGUCAGAACAUUAAUCUUCGGCAUUCACAUUGCCACCAAUCCAAAGUUAAAAGUCUGAAGGCAAAACAGUAUGAUUCUUAUCUCUCAAACAAAAAUGAAACUAUACCCCGGUCUCAGACAUAAAUGAAAUAAGUUCUACUGCCUCAACUGAGUACUGUGAUUAUAUAUAAAUCCAAUUCACCUUGUCAAGUAAUCUCUUAGGAUCUUGAAAUGCUUCCUUCUUAGCCCAGUCAUUAAAUACAUGCGAGAAAAUUGAUCUCUCAUCCACACUGAAUCUAUUGCACAGUGACAGAAGAAUAAAGUUAAACAUGAACAUAACCAACCAAAAUGCUAGUUAUAAUAGUACACCCAUAAUUGCAAGCAAAACCUUUUUAAGAAGCCAUUUCCAUGGUUUUCCUCCCAAAUUCCAUCAAUUCUGCAGAGGCAACGUCAAAUUUACUAUGAUGGAGAUCAUUUUGCACUGUAAUAACUUCAGAAGGUAGGAGAUUUGGUUUCAGAUCAUCUGUUGACGGAGUAGUUUCUUUUGAAGUGUCAUGAUGCUUUUGAUUGCAAGCCUUCUGUACUUACGUCAGCCUACAAAACAAAAAUUGCAUUCAUCCACACUAGACUUAAUAAGAUUAGAAACACUUCAGAUUCUUCAUUAUUUGUAUUUUUGACUAAACAGCAGAACAACUGAGGAUAAUGAACAGUAAUACACACCUGGACUUCUCGUAGAUGAUUUGGAAUUUCUUUCAGAAAUCGCGAAGGUUGAAGCAUCUGAAGGAGUCACCUUCUCAGUCAGAGCAACAACAACAAAUAAGGAGGACAGGAAUUCAAGCUAAAACGAACCUGCCAACUGGAAUCCAUCGUAACAUAAAGAAUGAAAAGCUUUUUUCGAGCACGAGUCAUUGCAACAUAUAAUAGGCGUCUCUCCUCCUAUGAUUAGAGUGGGAUUAUUGAGUUAUUGACCAAAAGAAAAAAGAGUGGGAUUAUUGUGAAAAACAUGUCAAAGCUCUGCAUAUAACUGAAAAAUGUUGAACAAUUUACCACACACCUCAAUGGAGGUCCCAUUUUCUUUUGCAACCCCAUUGAAUUCAUGCAACAACGGGAUCUCAGAUUCAUUUACCUGUGUUAUUGGCAUGAGCAUUAAAGCAAGCUAAGAUGAUUUGAAGAGGUUGAUAUCGUCAUGAAUAUAGUAGAACAGAAUACCAAUUUCAAGCCAUCAAUUAGGUAUAGCAUUGGCAUGUUUAAUCCGUAAAUCUAAUGACAGAACACCUCAACUCUACACAUAAAUAAAUAAACAACCUGAAAAAUAUUACAGCCACAUGUUAAGGCAAAUACCUUAAUUAUGAAAACUAUAUCCCACUCUAAACCUUUUGACUGCAAGAGAAUGAAAAAGAAAGACAGUAAGCCAAGAAUGUUUUGUAGAACUCCAAAGGAAGUCCAAUAGGGAAAUCAUCGCAAGUAUAAGAGUUAGCGAGGUUCGCAUAAGAGGAUAUCAAAAAGAUCUAGAACCUGAUGAAUAGUAGUCAAAGUGACAGAACUUUGGUUGUCAUGUCUUCGGGAGUGAAAAUUUUCACUCUCCUGCUCAGAUAUGUAGUCGAUGAAAGCUUUGAGUAAAUUAACGCAGCCUUUUUCUUCUGCUACGACUUCUCUCUCCCCUUUUCCCGCAACAAAAUGAGUUGAUAAGAAAUCAGAUACGUCGUCUAGUAGGUACUGAAGAACCUGCAAUGAGAAUAAUCGCAUCACAGCAACAGGGUUGGACCAAGAUUUAAGUGACAACAAUGAUUAACUAACUAAAAUAGAGAAAUUAUUCAUUUAAGACCUUGUUGACGGAAAAAAGGGUUUUCCAAGCAGCGGGUCAUUUAAGCUUAUUGUAUAAAUGACAAUCAUCACAAACGGCAAACUUACAGAUCUCACGUCAUUGUCUUCAUUCAGCAGUUUUCCUCCAUCUACAUCAACGACUGCACGUUGCUCAAGACGGUACUUCUAAAAAUUGAAAGUCAACAACAACAACAACAACAACAACAAAGCCUUUUCCCACUAAGUGGGGUCGGCUAUAUGAAUCCUAGAACGCCAUUGCGCUCGGUUUUGUGUCAUGUCCUCCGUUAGAUCCAAGUACUCUAAGUCUUUUCUUAGAGUCUCUUCCAAAGUUGUCCUAGGUCUUCCUCUACCCCUUCGGCCCUGAACCUCUGUCCCGUAGUCACAUCUUCGAACCGGAGCGUUAGUCGGCCUUCUUUGCACAUGUUCAAAAUCACCGGAGCCGAUUUUCUCUCAUAUUUCCUACAAUUUCGGCUACUCCUACUUUACCUCGGAUAUCCUCAUUCCCAAUCUUAUCCUUUCUCGUGUGCCCACACAUCCCACGAAGCAUCCUCAUCUCCGCUACACCCAUUUUGUGUACGUGUUGAUGCUUCACCACCCAACAUUCUGUGCCAUACAACAUCGCUAGCCUUAUUGCCGUCCUAUAAAAUUUUCCCUUGAGCUUCAGUGGCCUACGACGGUCACACAACACGCCGGAUGCACUCUUUCCAUCCAGCUCGUAUUCUAUGGUUGAGAUCUCCAUCUAAUUCUCCGUUCUCUUGCAAGAUAGAUCCUAGGUAGCGAAAACGAUCGCUUUUUGUGAUCUUCGCUAGAUUUCUCCGGUCAUUAGUGUGGAUAAGUAUAUAAAUGGAUAGAGAUAGGAAAGCAAACACAAGAUGUACGUGGUUCACCCAGAUUGGCUACGUCCACGGAAUAGAAGAGUUCUCAUUAAUUGUGAAGGGUUUACACAAGUACAUAGGUUCAAGCUUUCAUUUAGUGAGUACAAGUGAAUGAUUUUAGUACAAAUGACAUUAGGAAAUAUUGUGGGAGAAUGAUCUCGUAAUCACGAAACUUCUAAGUAUCGGAGUGUGGUGUCGUCUUGACUUGCCUUAUCUGUCUCAUAGGUAGAUGUGGCAUCUUCUCUGGAAGUACUCUUCCUCAAACGAUAAAUUAUUAAGAAGCAUUGAAUAUAAGCAUGAAACGAAGAAAAUGUUAUGGAAUGGUGAUCCUCAUCCUCAAAGAUGAUUAAAAGCAAUUUGAUUCAAAAAUGACAUAUCAACUCUGGAGAAAUGGAAGACAAACCUGUGGUACCAUAUUCGCAACUGAGGUUAUGACAGCUGAAAUCGAUUGUUCCUGUGUGCAUUGAUAAGUGAGACUACCAUAGAGAUUCACAACUAAAUAAAGACAGGUAUUCCACAGAACAACCUUUACCUCUUUGGAAACACAGAUCUAACAAAAACUAUAACAUUUUGGAUUAAUAUUGACAAAUCAAGAAUAAUGCAAGGGAGCAAGAGAUACUCUUCCUUCUAAUAACAAGGAGGCGUGAAAAGUAUACAGAGUUCCAACAAUUAGAGAACUAAAAUCAAACUAAAAAAAUCACCAAAGUAGACAGAAUCUCACUUCGCCAAAAAUUUGAAAAUAUACCUUUUUAUCCAUUGAGAUUCAUGAACUACUACUACUACAUCAUGCCAAUAAGCAAUGCGUAAGAGGAGCUACAAUUUACCGAAUAUAUUUACCCUGAGAACAAGUUUUGAAAUCAUCUCUAGUGUUAACAGCACCUUGCGUCCUUGGGUAAGCUGAGUCCUAUUAUCAAGUAAAGAGACCAAUCAGUACAUAUCCAAAAGAUCUUAAAUGCUUGUAAUACCAAAUAAGAAAGAAACAUGAGUAUAUCUUGAAUUAACCAUGCAAAAAUGUAAUGUUAAAGCAUCUUGUCAUACAGACCUCUUCAAGGUACCAGAAAUUUUUGCACUAAAGAUGUCACAAGCAGCUGAUAUGAAGCUGCAUUUUCUGUGAGUUGAAAUUUUGUCAAUAUAAUCGAUCACCUGAAGAGAGAGAGAGAGAAAAAGACAGUGAUAUCCAGAGAUGUGAGCCUAAAUGCUGAGUGUGUAAAAAAAGAAGAUUAAAUGGAUAGCAAGAAUAUACAACUUUAAUGCUGAAAAGAACAUUGAAUAUGAUGCUCAUUCAUCAUUCCCAUUGAACGUGUACCUUCUUCUUUUCCUCUUUCUCAAAAGCAAGUAGAGCCUUGAAGACUUGCCUAUAUGAUCCAUCAUCACAACCAGGCAAAGUUGUUUUAAUCAUAGCAACAAUGGCUCUAACUACCUGCCAUAAGAAACAUGCUACAUCAACAAGAUCACAGAGUGUACCAGAAACCGUAAUGUAGCAAAAUCUUGGAUAAAAUAGCUGGCCAAAAGGGAAUGGAAAAGCAAGCAUGAAAAACAAUGAAAAGGACCAGUGAUGCCAAAAUUCUGGUGGAAAAGGUGAAAAGCUUCUGUCUAUUACAGUUCUUGUAUGCAUUCUUUAUAACUUAAGUUCUACGUAGCAAAAACCACCUUAUGCACAACAAUAUUGGAAAAAUUAGAUACAUACAACUGAGAAGAUAGGUUUUCAUAAUCUGGACAAGUGCUAACUACUUUCUUCCUAUAAACUGCCACUCCAUGAACAUUAAAUGGUAUUUUCCUUUCACGCAAGGCUGUCUGGAAGACUUUUCCUGAUACCUGUAGCAUAAAAUACAAAAGAAAAUGUGACCAAAAUGUCUUAUAUGAUUCACCUCAUUCACAUUAGCACUAAGGCAAGUAAGCUUGACCUGCCUCCGGUAAAGGAUUGCUAUAUUUCCAUAGGAGCACCCUGCUUCUGACCGUUUAGAUGCAGUCUCCAGGAUCUUGUCGACAACAAAGGCGCAUUGUGCAUCCUCAUUGUGACUUUCCUUGAUAAUUACCUACAUUUUGCCAGUAAAACCAGUGUCACUAACUAUAAGGACUGAAAAAUGACAUCAAAUUGUACUUGUUGGAGCAAGGAAAGAUUAAGUACCUUAGACCCAGAAGAAUUGUCCAUGUCAACAUUCUUUAGUUGGCAUUGCUUCUUAUUGUUUUUUAUAACAGAAGUUGCAGCUUCCACAAUAUAGCGUGUGGACCGAAAGUUUUUAUUAAGCCUAAUCUGAACCAUAAAGUUAUGUCAAAUCCCACAGAACCUCGUAAAAUAAAACUUACUUUCCUGUAAUUGUACAAUAUAUUUUUUCUGUACUAUAUAUAAUGAAAAAAGACACUGAAUGACAUAAGAUAACAUAGCAGUCAAGUGCGAAGCGAACCUCUUUGUAAUUUGAAAAAUCUUUACGAAAAGAAUCAAAUCCAGAAAUGUCCGCCCCAUUGAAACUGAAAAUGGACUGCAGCAGGAUAUAUGUUAUUUGAUUUAAAACAGAUAAGGGCUGGAUUAGAAUGAGCUGAGAGAGAGAGAGAGAGAGGGAGAGAGGGAGAGAGGGAGAGAGGGAGAGAGGGAGCAAUAACAUUGGAUUUCCAUAACAAAUCAACAACAUGCCUGAUCAUCAUCACCAACAAUGGUUAUGUGGUUAUGAGAGGCGAGAAUCCGCAAAAGACUAUAUUGCAUAGCACUUGUGUCUUGAAACUCGUCUAUUACAGUAGCUUUCCAUGACUCCUGGCACUCCUUCAACACUAAUUAAGAGAACACCAUGUAUCAACAUUUAGCAUUACUUGUAAAACUAGAUAAAUCAAUGAAAUAUACUUAGAUGAUAGAGACCUUCAGGAAAAUCACUUAGCAGCUUCACAGAGCAGCUAAUUAAGUCGUGGUAGUCCAAAGCAUUGCACGAUUUCAAGAUAUCAUUGUAAUUCCUAAGAAUUUCACCCUGAUUCAGAUUGAGAGCUAAAACUCAUAAGCAAUAGUUUCAAAGAACUGAAAUGAUAUCUGAAAUUCUAGUUCUGAGCGUACUCCUGUCACAUCACCCAUUCUUCGGCAUUCAGCCGGAGUCUUUCCAGAAGCCUUUGCCUGAAACAUAAAUAAAUUUAUUGCCUAAUGCCACAUAUUGUAAGACACACCAUUGUAUUGGUCAUUCUAGCUUGAUUGUAGCUAAUAUUUUUUAAAUCGAAUGAUUAGAGUUCUUAAUCCACAAUAAUCUGAACAUUAAAUUUGGUAUUCAAGACUAACCUGUGUCACCAACUACAGCCAUUUCCUUGAUGCAUCCUUAAAAUGAUGUGGAGAUGUUACGCCGUUAGACUCUUCCCCAUCUAUAGCAACAUUAAGAUUCGUUUACUCUUUUCAUCUUCUGAUAACCGCACAGCUUCAAUGAUUGCUCUUCUCUGUUGCCCAUGUCCAUAUAUCAAAAAUUCUGGUCUGCGCUCGAGUCUAAAACACAAGCCAACAUAACAGACUCAGCUAUACCACCAAAUGUAUGGUGUUCAAAAUCAAGGGAGGUGAAUCAAUAGCUUACUUCUCAGCAUGUGAUCGGCAAAGUUGCAAUGAAAAUGAAUGAAAUGUACUGAUUGUUAGUAGUUUUGCCGUUGCUUUCCCAGUCACAGAUCCAAUUCGAUCUCUCAUCUCGGAAGCUGCUGCUGUAGUGAAAGUCAUUGCUAGAAUGUUCGACGUGCUAAUGCCCUAAGAACACAAAAAAAAAAAAAAAAACGUAUAAGAUUUCGAUCAUAAACAAGAAAUGUAGAGAAACACACAAUUACGAAAGAAAAAGUUAGAGGGAAAGUAGCAACACCUCAUUGAGCAGCAUUAGAACGCGCCCAACUAUCGUUGAAGUCUUUCCACUUCCAGGGCCGGCAACAAUCAUCAAAGGUACUGAAAUAUCGCUGCAAGCUGCCUCGCGCUGCCUUUCGUUGAGAGAAAGCAAAUACUUCAAUACUCAUCCGGCAUGUUAGGCAAUCCAUGGUUAACAGAAUCUUUUUGGUUUUCACUACUCAAAGGUGGCGCUGAUGCGGCACUAACGUCACUACCACAACUCCCAAUAUCAUCACGCUGAAUGUCCACACUCGGUUUCUGCUCGAUUAAAGCGUCAAUUUCCUGCAAAAUACUCUCGUCGAAAUCAUCAUCGUUAAGAAUUCCAGAUGCAGAGAAAGAAUCAAAUGAAGUCAGAAACUGCGGUUGUCUGAUUGGAGUUGUGAAAGAAUCCGAUUUUGACACGCUUGAUUCGGUCCGGCUAACGCUUAAGCUCCCGGAACACGAAGCACUGCCAUAUUCACCACGCGUUGAAUUGUACCGGCUUGCGGAAAUCGGAGGCGGUGUUCUUUGAACUCUAUUGAGCUGAGUUGGCGUUUGGAUUCCAUUUCCGCCACAGAUUCUGGAAUUUGAAAAACACAAUUGAAUUGAUUUAAAUUGAAGCAAGAAAACAGCCGAGUAGCAAAAAAAUAGUAAGAAGAUGAAACCUUUGAUUCCUGAACGACUUACUUGGUAUGAGGGAGGUGAUGAUCAGGUGAAACGGCGUCGUUGCGGGGGCGUUUGCGAUCAAUGAGGGCCUUGGCGGCUCUGAAAUUCCGAGAGAUGCGGUUUCUUUGUUCCGCCGUGAGCCCUCCGCCGUACGCCUGAACGUUUUCCUUGGACAUUGCUUCGAAGAUUCCAACGGAGGAUUUGGCCUGACGGCCUGACCAGGCUGAUAACAGUGUAAAACCUUAGGAGCUAAGGAAAACUAAGAGAUAGAUCGUAGAGAGGGAAAGUUUUUUCUUUUUGGAAACUAGUAGGGAGGGAAAGUUUGUUAAACCUGAAUAAUAUUCUUUUCAUUCAACUUGUCUACAAUAAUUACCACUCUUGGUAUUUAUACAUUUCUAACACACCUCACUAACUAACUAAGACCACUACCAAUCAUACAAAAAUAAUUGUCCUUUGAUGAACUCUUUCACGAACAAAGUGGCAAUCAAUCUCUACAUGUUUGGCUUUAGAGUGCAAUACAGGUUUAGUGGCAAGAGCCAUUGCUUAAAUGUUAUCACAAUGCAAAACUGGAACAGAAGGAGAACCAACAUGCAAAUCUCGAAGAAGAUGUUGUAUCCAGAUAACCUUAGCAGUGGUUGUAGCCAUUGCUCUAUAUUCAGCUUCAGUGGAAGACCCACUCACUGUAUGCUGCUUUUUAGAACUCAAAGAGAUAGGAGUGACAAAACCCAUGGUUGAACGACGAUCAUUGUGAUCCCCUGCCCAAUCAGCAUAUGUAUGAGCUUUCAACUAAGAUGAACCUGAUUUAAAACACAAUCCCAGAGACAUAGUGCCUCUGAGAUAUCGCAGAAUACGUUUCACAGCAGCAAAUGAGUGGCUAAUGGUGAAUGCAUAAACUGACAUACUUGAUUGACGGAAAAAGAAAUAUCUGGUCUUGUAAAUGUUACGUAUUGUAGUGCCCCAACAAUACUUUUGUAAGUGGUAGGAUCAGAAACAGGUUCACUACCAUGAUUCAGAAGCUUUUGAUUAGGAUGACAAGGUGUGGAAAAAGGUUUACAGUCCAGCAUAUGCAUCUUUUGAAUGAGUUCUUUGACACACUUGGUCUGAUGAACAAAGAGUCCCUGUUCUUGAUAUUCAAUCUGUAAACCAAGAAAAUAAUGCAACACACCCAGAUCUUUCAUGUCAAACUCACUAGUUAACUGACUAAUAACAUUCUGAACCUUCACAGCAUCAUUACUAGUGGGAAUGAUAUUAUCAACAUGUAAUAAGAGAACAAUAAUUGAUGAACCAUCACACUUGACAAAUAAAGAAGGAUCUGCAUAUGAUGACUUGAACCCAAGCUUAGGCAAAUAACCUGAAAACCUGUCAUGUUAGGCUCUGGGAGCUUGCUUGAGUCCAUAUAAAGACCUCUCUAGUUUGCACACAUAAUCCGGAUAGGUAGAAUCCACAAACCCUUGGGGCUGAGACAUAAAAACUUCUUCCUCAAGAAAGCCAUGCAAAAAAGCGUUCUUGACAUCUAACUGUUUGAGUUUCCAAUUAUGAGAUGCAGCCAAGGAUAGAACCAAUCGAACUAUGUUUGGUUUGACCACAGGGCUAAAGGUUUCAUAAUAGUUAAUACCAACUUCUUAAGAAUACCCCUUAGCUACAAGUCUAGCCUUGUACCUAGCCACUAAACCAUCUGGAUUUCUCUUAAUCUUGUAGAUCCAUUUACAACUAACAAGAUUUUUGUCAGGUGGUAAGGGCACAAGCCUCCAAGUAUGAUGUUGAAUCAAAGCAUCCAUCUAUUCUUUCAUGGCAUUUUGCCAUUAAACACACUUGACAAUACUAGAAAAAGACUGAGGUUCCUUGAUUUCAGAAGCCUGAUCCACCUUAGCAGAAAACACCUUCUUUUUCAUAAUCCUAGACUUAGACCGGGUUUGCAUGGGAUGACAAUUUUGAGCAUUGAUACACACUGGUUGGAGAUCAUCCACUUGAGACAUUGUAGUAUUUGGAUGAUCUUUUGAAUACACAGUAGGCAAAACCUCUGAAGAAGGCACAAAACUUGUGGAAGAAGAGACAAGAUCACCAGAACUAGUGGGUUGAGAGGAUGAUGACUGAGUAACAUGUUGUGAUUUAGAGGUAAGAGAAGUGGGACCAAUAAAUGGAAAUGUGGAAGAAACACUAGGUGGAUGAAUGAAUGUGUUUGAAUGCACAACAGACAUUGGUGAGGAAGAAUGACCAGAAGUAACUUGAGGAUUGAAACCCAAAGCAUUAGAGUCUGUAGGAAACUUGGAUUCAUCAAAAAUAACAUGUCUAGAUACUAACAGUUUCUGAUCUUUGAGAGAUAAGCAAAUAUACCCUUUGUAUUGUGUAGCAUACCCCAGAAAAAUACACUUAGUAGUUUUAGGUUCAAGUUUAUUGCUUCUAUAGGGUUUCAAUGAAUGAUAGCAUAAACAACAAAAAAUUCUCAAAUGAUCAAGCUUAGGUGGAGAUUUAUAUAGCAUUUCAAAAGGAGACUACAUAUGUAGGGUAGGUGUGGGCAUUCUGUUUAUAAGAAAAGUAGCAGUGGCACACGAAUGGAACUAGAAUUUUGAAGGUUGAAACUUGUUGUAAAAAGGUAAUAGCUGUUUCGACAAUAUGUUGAUUUUUUCUCUCAGCCAACCCAUUAUGUUAUGGGGUAUAAGGACAAGAUUUUUGAUGAACAAUGCCUUUGGUAAGAAGAAAUUGCUUAAACUGAGUAUUAACAUAUUCCCCACCCCCAUCACUUUGCAAAAUUUUUACAUAAGCAUCAAAAUAAUUCGAGACAAAAGCAAGAAAGUUGACAAAACAGUGAGGGACCCCAAACAUCUAUGUGAAUUACUUCAAAUGGAGUAAGUGACUUCGAAGCAAUUACAGGAAAAAUGGAGCUUGGUAAAAUUUGCCUUGCAAACAAGCUUUACAAGUAUGAGAUUGAGAGUUACAAGGAAAAGAUAUACAAGACUUAUUAAGUGCUGCAGUGACAAUGGAAUGUGCAGGAUGGCCUAAUCGACAAUGCCACAAUGUAGAAUACAUCUUUUGACCCACAAAUGCAAUUGGAUUAAAAACAGGAGAAAUAGACCUAUGUGGUUUGAUUAUGGGAAGUGGAUAGACAACAUUAUUACUCAGCCCUUGGAAUAGCACUUUCCCGGUGACCUUGUCUUGUAGAUAGAGAGAAACAUCAUCAAUGAUACAAUGACACUGAUUAUCUUUGCACAACUGAUUCAUAGAUAAUAAGUGUUGUGACAGUUUUGGAACAUGUAACACAAAGUUUAACUUGAAAUUAUGUGACUUAGUGAGAAGAGAAGAGGAACCAAUAUGUUUGAUAGCUAAACCUUCACCACUAGCACUGGUCACAGUAUCAUUUGAUGGAUAAAUUUGUUGCCAUGUGCAAGUUUGACAAAUCUGAGGUCAUAUGGUUAGUUGCUCCCAAGUCAAGAAACCAUAAAUCUUGUUGAAGAGUUGAGGAUGAUGCACCAGCUCGUGCUUGUAUAGCAAGAGGAGGAUUUUGUGAGGAUAUAGUUGAGAGAUACAUAUGUGGUAUGACAUGAUACUGAAACUGGGAGCUAUUAGACCGUGGAAUCAUGCCUUGUGAAGGACCACAUGGAUUCUAGCUAGGUGCUUCGCCAUAUGACCCAGCAGGCAUUGGAGUUGGCAUAGAUGAGGAUAAACCCUGAGAGAAAUGCUUUGAUGUGCCUGUGAAAUUCUUAUUUCGAUCAAAGCAAGUAGCAGCAACAUGGCAAUUUCUGUGACAAAUUUGACAUCCAUGUUGAAAACAAUUCAAUGCAAAAUAAACUUUGCGAUCACAUAUUUGCAGAAAGGCCUUUGCAACCCUAGAAAGAAGAAGGAGCAAAGAAGACCAAAUGUGUACGUUUCUCUUUGGUUUUUUUUCCCUCUUAAUCACGCUGUUCGAAAUCACGGACCUCGGGCCUGGGCCUAGUGGGCCCAAUUAUGAGGCCCAUUAUCUCCGGUCUUCUCGUUCUACUUCUAGUUACCCAAAUUAAGAACGUACUGGUUCGCUUUUAGCGCGAGAGAGAAAUGGAGGCCCUGAUUGCCUCGUACGGAGACUCGUCGUCGGGCUCAGACUCCGAGUCGCCGGCUCCACCUCCAUCACCACCUCCGGAGCUCAACAACCCUCAAGAACCGACCCCUGCGCUGCCUCCACCUCCUCUGUCACUUCUCGACAACCCCAAUUCCUUCGGUAACCUCUGAUUCCCAUCAAUUUUCAUCUUUUAGCUUUCUGUUGUGAUGGCUUUUUCCGAGUUGCCCACCAAGUAUUUGAUGUUUUGCCUCUGAAGGAUUUCUGGACUUCUCGGCAAGCGCCCAGCCGAGCAGAGUUCGGAACUUUCCUCACGUCGAAGGGAACUACGCAGUACAUGUAUACAUCCCAGGUUAUCAAAAUUCUCGAAAUUUUCAGCUCCAUUAGCAAAUGCGAUCGCUUUGCACUUAGUUUUUGCUUGUUUAAUUCUGUGGUCAGUUUAUAUACCACCAGCACCAAGGAAAGAGAUGGCCUUGUUUUUGAACAAGCUAGCUUCUCUGGUGCCUGGUCUCCAUGCGGUUGACGUUGACUUCCUGCUUGACAUUCUGCGUAAGGACGAGCACAAGCUUGAACAAGUUGCUUUAGGCAGAGAGUUCCAUAUAAGUCUCGGAAGAACUGUUCCGAUUCGGGUGCACCAGAUUGAUUCCUUGGUGACAAUGCUGCGGCAGAAGCUUCAGAUUCAGAGGCGGUAUGGUUACAUUUACAUUCUCUUGUCUGCAUUGCGUGAAUUUAGUUCUGUUAUUUAACAUAAUUCUGUAAGCCUGCAAAUUUUUCGUCCAUUUUCAGUUUAACACAUUUUGUUAUUGUGAAACAAGUAUUGGAUUGAUUUUAGCAAGUGGUAGGUUUUUGUUAAUGAUGAUCAGACCCGGACCUUUGUGUCUAUCGAAAUCAUUGCUGCUGGGUUAGCUGAGGUAUGAUUGCUAGCUUUCUCUCUUGGUGCAAUUCUAAAUGUUUUCAGUUGUUAUAUGGGCUUAAGAUUUAGCAAGGACUUGCCGAAAGUCAUGGGAUUUUGAAAUAUCGAGAUCUUGCUUGCUUAUUAGCUUAGAUUUGGUCUUCGAUGCACUUGUAACAUGAAAAACACAAACGAAAACUAAUGCAUGAUAUGCUCAUGGUUUUAACAUGUGUUGUCCUGGCGUAAAUCAUGUUCCUAAUCAUGUCAUGUGAGUAUAAGCCUAUGAAACUUAGGGCAUGUUUGGCGGGCUGGACAAGAUUGGAAUUGGUAUUUCAGACUAGUUAGGUUAGGAUUGAACUGGAUAGGAUAGGUUUUUUGUCUAAAGAUUGGUGUAGACUGUCUUAACCAGACUAGGAACGAUGGGAUUUAAAACGUGAAACAGAUCGGCGACAUCCCAACGAUGACCCGCCCACCCAACAACUCUGCUCGUGACUUGCAACACCUCUCGUACCCUCCACGCCCCUUGCGGCCCGUCAGACCACUCUGAUAUCCUGGAGGAGUGAAACGUGGUUACUAGAAGCAUACCUGUUUUCGUAUUAAUGCACGGUUGAAUCAGCUUUCAUUGUCUACAAGUCUGAAAUAUUUUAACUUCCAUUGAUUUCAGAUAACAAAGCAGAUUCAAGCUGUGAAUGAGGUGUAUAAGCUUCACAAUCAUCCUAAAUUUUACAAGGUUAGCUUUUUCGUCCUUUUCAAACUCGAAUCGCUUCCUGAAUAUAUGACAAUAUAUUGGAUCAAAUGAUUUCUCAAAAAACUAAUUCACUUGAUGGGGUCUUGGUGAUCACAGGAUCCACGCCCUCACAUCUCGGUAGCUUGGGCAUUGGGUGACAUCAGCAAUUCCCUGAACAAAGUGGUUGAAGAAGAAAGACGAAGAUCUACCAUCGGAGGAUCGUUACAGAAAUGUAUUUUUACCAGUAAAUUCAAUGGUAUCGAAUGUAGGAUUGGUAAUAAGACACACAAAAUAUGUAAAUUUUCUGAAGAAUAAUGUAGCCAUUUAACUGUAUUGUGAAAUUCCGAGAAUAUAUCACUGAGCAUUGGAUGAGAAGACAUUUCUUCGUUGGUGUCGAACUUCUUGUCGAAGGUAUUGGCACCAGUGUAAACGUCAUCAUCCAUGUUGAUGGUAAUUACUUCCCAGCUACUAAGGGUGUCGGAACAGCCUUGCACGCAGCCUCCUGUGCAUUACUUGGUAUUGUCUCAGAUUCUCCAAACUUGAAUGCUAAUGUAAACCCACUCUUGACCUUUCCGUCAUCUGCGAUUACCGGAAUGCCGGCUUGGAUGUUGCCGUUGACCUACCGAACUUAAAAUACCGACGAAAUGUUGGAGUACUUAAGUGUACUACUCGUUUUUGUAUGCGAGAGCUCCACCUCUAUCGUUGUAACAGCAUCUGAUGCGGACUAGUCCUUCAUUCCCGUUACUCUUUGCCAUCUCCACUUCGAACUUGGCGUGAUGGCUCCCGGCCUCCUCUCCGGUGAAAUUGAGUAACCCCGGAGCUGGCGUGCCAUCAAGAUUUCCGUCGUGUCUCUAUUUGCUGUUGUGGUUUGGUUUCACCACUAUAAACUUGGCAGAGUUGGCAUUUUCAUUCUGUUGUCUGUAUAUCUUGAUAUUACAAGUAUUUGUUGUGCAAAAUGCAUGCUAAGUUCAACUUAUGUUUAUAUGUGUGUGUGUGUGUGUUGCCACUUUUCCAACGUUUUCUCCAAAAUUGUGACGAGCAACAAAGCAGUUUUGAUUCCGUGCACAACAACGAUACCUCGAAAGAAAUUGAUUCUUCCCCAGAAAGAUGUUUUAAAACAAAGUUGAACAAGGGAAGAAAACUUUUGAAUCGCAAUCAGAUGUCUGGUCAAAUUCUUUAACAGUUGAUGUAUACAGAAGUUCCUUGCUUAUGACACGACUUAUGAGAGGAUGUAUGUAUUGCAUUUGCAUCAAAAGAAAGAAAGAAGGUUGUAAGUGGUAAGGGAACGACUACCGAUGCCGCUCCACUUCUAAUCAAAGGGAUCGAUCCGAGGGUCGUGUUCACUUGCCAUCGCCAUUCCAGUGCAAAGGCAUGUCGGGCACAUUACCUGCCACAUUUACAGACGCAAUGUUAGAUAUAGCUGCCAUUUGGAAGUCAUCUCUCAAAAUUUUGCUACUAAAUCAAUCUUAAACUUCAUUUCCAGUGCAAUUUUUUUCUUCUGAAUUGUCUUUCACAUGCCCGACAAAUAGAAGUAUCACCAAACAUGUGAAUAUAGAGCAUCUAAGCGGCAGGCACUAAAAGGAAUUUAGUAUGCAAUAAACAUUCAACGGACAUAAUUAUAUGUCUAACCUUUCCCGCUCCUGAGCAAUUUGAACAUCGUUCAGUUUUUGGCAGAGAUAGGGGUUGGUUUCCGCCAUCAGCUGUCGAUACUGGUUCAGUAAGAACAAGGGUUCCAGUGCUGGAGCAACGAGCACAAGCAAGAGAUCCUGCGUAAGUAUCAAAUACACAGGUAAGUUGACAUACGAAACCAAUCCGAACAUCUCCAUCGUAUAUAUUUAAAGCUACAGUACAUAAACUAAAAGUCAGAAAUAUAGGACAUUAUCACACCAGUUCCAAGACAAUAUUUGCAUCGUUUAUGCUCCUGCUGUUUCACAUUGUUUAUUUCAACUACCAUCAAUGCUGAGAUCACUCCGACUGCUCCUCCAGAGAAUGACGCCACUAUGGGAUCAACUUGACUGCAGUUUGAAAGUAAAGGAGAUCAAUAAACGAAACUGGUAACAACAUAGUAUCAACAUUAUUUAGCUUCGUUUCAAGAAAGAUGACAUCCUAGGUUUUUCUAAUGUGUAAAAAUUGAGGAUCCUCGUAAAAUUUGACCAUAUCGGUUCCCAAAGCAUUUGAUUCCUACGUUACAGACGGAAAACAGCAACAAUCGAAUUUAAAGAUUCAUAACACGAUAGAUGGUACAAAAUUUCAAAACGAUAAUUACUAGAGAACAGGAGGGUUAAUAGCCUGAGAUAUGAGCAAUACCUCAACUGCAACGGCAGAUGCAUAUUUACUAUAAAGUCUUUAUAUGAUGUGCCUCCUAUUCCCAGCUUCAACUCCAACUGAAAGAUGUAAAGGUAAUUGUAGGCAAAGAGUUACAAACAUAACCGAAUCCAUGUUUUAUAAGCAACAACUACACUUAUUUUGAUAUGUUUCCUCAUUUUUUACUUGCAAAUUCCGAACCAUAUUGUCGGACCAGUAAAAGAAAAUAAUGUUUAUGAUAACUGUUAAAACUAAUUACAACAAGUUAAUGCAUAAAGAACUUACGGAGGGUGCUAUGAGGCCACCGAAAAGGAUAAACCCCACAAUAAUUGAAUAACAAACAGCAUAAUACUGCUUAAGGUUGUCUGAACUCUGCAAGCAAUGAAUUCACCUUGUGAUUAAUACUUUGCACAAACACUAGUUUUCGCAAUUUUUUAUGAAUCGACAAAAGGCUACAACAAAAUAUGGCUAAAACAUGUCGGGGAUAUGAAAAUACAUGUCUUCACAGGGGCACCAGCUUACCAGGGGAGGCAAAAAUGGAAUGAACGAUGGAAAACUAGGAAGUUCGUUUUCUUGAUCUUCAUUUACCGCUCCAAGCUCUGCACGUUUAAUCCGCUGUUGUAUCCUCAGCCUGCGAACCUACGCAUAUCGAAGCUCAUUCUUAAAGAACACAUUUCUAAUGGCAAUUGGAGAGUAAUUUAAAACAUGCUAAACUGAGAAAGUGGUAGCAACUAGUAAUUGCUCUCACCUCCUCCAUAUGCAAGAAAAUUUUGUUGCGACGACUCCGAAUAUUAUCUUGAAUUUCCUGCAGCUCCAUUGUGGCAAAAUCCUGCACUGUUUCAGGCCCCUCUAUGAUACAAAAUCUGCACCAUUAAGCAUGUAAAAAUUAAAAAUUACAGGCUACAAAGCAAUUUCCGUAUAGUUGUUGGGUUAAAUAACAUCAACAGCAAAUAAAUCACAUAGGUUUUUCACAUAAAGUUACAAACUUUCAAGGACUAAUAAGCUGUCUGCAAUCUCAUAAAUUUCACAGUGCAAAGUAACAAUCCAAAGCUUGGAACUUUAAAUUUCCACCUUCUGUUAAUUUUUUAGUGCACCUGGUGUCGUUAGAUUCGAGUAGUAUGUCACAUUAAAUUUUUUUUUUCUGUGCAUGCAUUUUUUUUUAAAAGAAAAUUUUAUAUUGUUAAAGAGCGAGUUCGAAACUAUUACAUUAUGGAAGGACAUAGUACCGAAACUCCGACGAUCAAAAACAAAAUCAUGUACAACCACUCCAAGCAGUCAACAUGGCCAUCACAUAUUGAAUCCAAAAUGUUGACGCCCCAUUCGCUGCAUAUAAUGUACAGACGAGCGGCAGCUUCAACCAGUUCUGCCAUAUCCG